This 61358-nucleotide long non-coding RNA is filed under the name Citrus maxima (pomelo). Its description in RNAcentral is "long non-coding RNA (CMAX_LNC000634)". The stretch from base 22983 to 23089 matches the Rfam family "Plant small nucleolar RNA R71". Lineage: Eukaryota; Viridiplantae; Streptophyta; Magnoliopsida; Sapindales; Rutaceae. The record is from RNAcentral.
UAUUUUAGAAGUUACAGUAUUCUCAAACUGACCCUUAGUACUUCACAAAUUGAGCUUCUCUAUGCACUUUUUAUCCAUAGUCUCUAAUUAAUUUCCUGUUCAAUAAAAUAUUUUUUUAAUUAAAAAUAAAAAAAUAAAACUAACCAACAAAUACAUAAUUUAAGGUAAAAUAUCAACAUAUUACAUGCUUAUCAAGAUGUGUUCAAAGUACUUGGCCAAGCUCUAAAGCAAAGAAAGAUACUUUGCCAUGCGUUGAUCUUUAGUGGCAAAUUCUCGAGAGGCUUUAUCACUAUAAACACGUAGCUUCCAGAAUUAUAGCUCCUUGGCAAGCUGUAAUCUUGCUAUCAAUGCCUCAUGCUCAGUUCAUUGUUCGAGGUUGGGAAAUUUAGUAGGAUGGAAUCCUCAAAUACCAUACCCUUCGAGCUCCUUAAAUACAUGCCAAUAUCGUCUCCGUUUUGAUUUGAUGACUCAUCGAUGUAUCAAUAUGAAGUCUCCACUCAUCAUAAAAACGAGUCAAAGCAUGGUCCACAAUUGAAAGUUCACAUUUUAGAAUAGAAUCAACUAGUACUUUUCCUUUUCGGGCUAUUUUAAUAUUGGCUGCUUUGCUGCUACGGCUAAGUAGAUUUGGUUUCGACAAGAUAGAUUUCAGCGGGUAGGAUGUGACAAUAUUAAUUUUGUGCUCUCACAGUAAUGUCUAAGUUUUACUACAACUUGGGUGAGGACAAUCACCAAAUUUUUUAAGACUGUAUGACGAAUUUUUGCAUCCAACAGGGUUUUGCUUCUAAAGAACACUGGAUGUUAUUGAUUCCUUUCAAAGAGUAACACUAUGAUGACGGACACAGAUGAUACUCCCAAGUACAAAUAGAGUGCCUUAUCUGGAUUUGGUACUGUCAGAAUUGGAGGGGUUGCAAGAUAUCUGGAUUGGGGCCCCAACUUUAUCCUUUUCAGGCCUUAAUGGCUUGAAAGAAUGGUUUGCACUGAUUUAACAUCGGGAGAUAAAUCUACUGAAGGUUUCUAUCUUACUAAUUAGAAUUUAAAUCUCCUUUGUAUUCUUUCGCUCAUUCAUGUUGAGUUAAGCCUAUACUUGUGUUAGGUUUGGCUGUAGAGCCUGACCUGUGGGGAAGCUUUUUUCAAAACGGAGUUCAAUUGAUUCCUUGUAUAUGUGCUUUUGUAGUAGGCAUCAAACACAGUUGAAGCCUAAAGUUACGAUCGAUGGUAAUCAAGCUGAAUUGGUGUUUUACAACGUAGCCAUCCCAUAGAGGUACUAAACAUUUGAAAUUAAUCAUGCAAUUUAAUUAAACUUAAACUAACAUUACAUAUAUGAAUAGGUAAAAAUAUUUAAAAUGGACAGAACUUGGAUAAUCUGUGAUCAAUUAUCUAUAGAGUAGAUGGUAUCAGAUUUGCUAACUUCUUAAAUUUUUCCAUUUUGAAUGUUGAAAAGCGAAUGUCAAUUAGACAUCCUUUCACCUUUUGUUGUUAUGUAGAGUUUCAUACUCGUUAAUAGGCGAAUGAUCAUUUAUUUGAAAAAGGUUUUCUCCCAAAAUGUAUAGUUUGGACUUGACAUGGUGAGACUGGCCCUAAUUCUACAUCUACAAAGUGCCAAGACCAUCCACAUAGUCAAAGAUUUAGAUGUCAUCAUUAUGAGACAUAAUUGGCAUUGUUGAAGAUGCUUAUGAGCAUUAUGAUAGAGAUCCUAGUUGCUUUAAGGAUAUAUUUAAAGAUGCUAAAAAACCUUUAUACCGGGUGCAAAACAUUCAAAGCUAUCUAGUUGAAUGACUUUAUAAUGUGAAAGGUUUUAUGGGUGGUCAGAUAAAGGGUUUUUGCUUGUUAAAACUCCUUACUAAUAUUUUGCUAAAUAAUAAUGAUCUGCCUAAGCCAAUGUAUGAGUCCAUGAAAACAAGGAAAGUGCUAGGCUUAGAGCAUGAAAAAAUACAUGCAUGUCUAAAUGACUGCAAUAUGUAUAAGAAUAUAUUUGCUGAUCUUACUAGAUGCCCAAAUUGUAGAGCAUCUAGUUGGCAAAGGAAAAAAGAUGGCUAAAAAUAAUUUAGGAAAAGGAUUCUUGAAAAGGAGUUAUGGUAUUUUCUACCUAUUCAUAGGUUAAAGAGAUUAUUUCAAUCACCACAAAUAGCUCAAAAACUUAACAUGGCAUGCUAAUAAAAGAAUUAGAGAUGGCAAGCUUCACCACCCAAUAAACUCACCAAAUUGGCAACUAAUUGACAAUAAGUGGCUAGAAUUUGCAUAUGAACUUAGAAAUCUCCAUUUAGCUCUCUCAAUUGAUGGGGUUGACCUACAUAGUACACUUAGCACUACUUAUAGUUAUUGGCCCAUUACAUUGGUAACAUUUAAUAUCCCUCCAAGGUUGUGUAUGAAGAGAAAGUUUCUGAUGCUGUCUUUUUUGAUAUAUGGCUCUAAACAACCUGGAAAUGAUCUAGAUGUAUACCUAACACAUUUAAUUAAAGACUUGGAAACUGUGUGGGAUGUAGAUGUUGAUAUUUAUGAUGCAUAUAGAAAAGACACCUUCAAUUUACAAGUUGUCUUCAUAUGGACAAUCAGUGAAUUUCCAGCAUACAAAAACCUCUCCGGUUAUACUGUUAUUAGCUAUUACACUUUAUGGGAUAGACAAUUGUGCAAGUCUGGAAUAAUGAAGAUGCUAGAGUAAUAUAUUGUAGCACUUUUACUGCAACAACAACUAGAGCAACGAUAAAUAAGAUUUCGCGCAUUAGAUAGAAGAUUGCAAUCUAAAGUUUCCAAAAAUAAGAGAUUCAUUACCAUACGUUUCUGGUAACCCUAAUUUCGACUUAUAAAAGGAGCACAUUACAAUGGAAAAGGGGACGGUCAUUAGAGAAAAAGAGAGAGAAACAACACAAGAGAAAACUGAGAUCAAGAGAGAGAAUUGAGGACGGCAACAACAGAUUCAAGAAGAACAUCGAGCGGAUUUUAACUCUUGUUCUUGUUCUCUUGUUUUUAUCUUGUUUAUGAUGAUUUGUUUGAAGGUUGAAACUAUUUUGGUUUUUGUUUUAUCACAAAUUAUGAAUUAAAUUUAUUUGUGGUUGAAUGAUAAACAAUCUUGAUGGUUAGUUGACUGAUAUUUAGCGUUGCUGCAUGUUUUCUAUAACACGUUGUUUUGAUAAUAUUUAUUACAAUUCACUAUUUGCUAACCACCCAUUUAGUGAUAAUAAUUAAGAAAGAGCCUAAAAAAGACCUGACUUAGUGGAACAUAUCAGAGCAAUACUUGGUUUUGAAAAGGGCCAUGCUUAAUCUAAAAUUUAUGAUGAACUAGACAUAGAGAUUCAUCUUGUAUGGUAAUUAGAACCUAGGCUUGUAAUGUUAUAUCUUAUGUUAACAUAACAAUUGGUUACUAUUAAGUUACAUCAAAAUAUAAAAUAUCCAACAAGCGACAGCUGAGGGUACAUAAGGAUUCUGCCCAGUGUUGUAGCAGAUGUUGUAUCAAUCGAACCAAAGGUUAGGAACAUAGUCAAAACCAUUAAGUAAGUUUAACCACUCAACUACUCCAUUCUCAUUAAUUAGUCUCUUGCGUUUAAGUAUCAAAUUCUUCUUAAUUAUUGCCUCCUUAAUUUUAGGAAAUCAAUUUUAUUAAUUAUUCCUUUAUAGUUAAUUUGAAAUUGCACUUACAAGGUUGUUGUAGCAAUUCCUAUAACAUCAAUCCCUGUGGAGACGAUCUUGAAUACUUAUCAUUAUAUUACUUGUUGUGUACACUUGUACAUUGACACCAAUAGCAUUAGAAAUCGUAAAACACGUUUUUGGCGUCGUUGCCGAGGAUUGGUGAUUAUUGUGAUUUGUGAAGUCAAUUUUAGUUGGUGCAAAAAAAAAAAAAUCUUCUUUUUGUUUACGAUGUUUGCAGAAUUAUUCUAGAAACCCUCACAUAUGCAAAUACAAACCUAUUGAAUUCCAAUUUGAUCUAGAGAUUGAAAGAACUGUAAGGAGAUUAAAGAAAGAGAAUAGAAAUUUAAAAAUUGCUGCAGACAUGGAUGAUUUGCAAAAUAUUAUAAUAAAAGAACUUUGGUUGUGGAAGAAUCUAUGCAUGUUACAUUUGAUGAGUCUAACCCCUCCUCUACGGAGAAAGUCGUUGUUGAUGAUAAUGUAGAAGAAGAACAACAAGAAGAAGCAUCAAAUGACAACAAAAAAGAUGCACUACAUGGAAUUCAAGAGGAAUAUCAUGAAGAAACAAAUGCAGAGCAAAAUGAACUUCUCAAACACUCCCCAAGGAGUGGAGGUAUGUUUCUUCUCACCCCAAGGAUGUAAUUUUAAGAGAUCCCUCACGAGGUGUUACAACUAGAUCAUCUCUUAGGAACACAUGUGAGCAUGCUGCAUUUAUUUCUCAAAUUGAACAAAAAUCCUUUGCGGAUGCAGAAAAUGAUGAAUCUUGGAAUAUGGCAAUGCAAGAGGAAUUGAAUCAAUUUGAGAGAAAUAAUGUAUGGGAAUUAGUUCCUAAUCCGGAACAUCAAUCCAUUAUAGGUACUAAAUGGGUAUUUAGAAACAAAAUGGAUGAAUCCGGUGUGGUUGUAAGAAAUAAAGCUAGACUAGUGGCUCAAGGUUACAACCAAUAAGAGGGAAUUGAUUUUGAUGAAACAUUUGCACCUGUAGCUAGACUAGAAUCUAUUAGAAUGCUCUUAGCUUUUGCAUGUUAUAAAGAUUUUAUUUUAUAUCAAAUAGAUGUCAAGAGUGCUUUCUUAAAUGGUUAUAUUAUGGAAGAAGUGUAUGUGAAACAACCCCCUGGUUUUGAAAAUGAAAAAUUUCCAGAUCAUGUGUAUAAGUUAUCUAAGGUUUUGUAUGGAUUAAAACAAGCACCUAGAGCAUAGUAUGAUAGGCUUAAAAACUUCUUAUUAGAUAACAAUUUUUCGAUAGGAAAAGCAGACACAACUCUAUUUGUUAAGCAUAAGAACCAAGACAUACUUAUUGUUCAAAUUUAUGUUGAUGACAUUAUUUUUUGUUCUACAAAUGAAUUGUUGUGUAAAGAAUUUUCAUCUUGUAUGAGUAAAGAAUUUGAGAUGAGUAUGAUGAGAGAGUUCAAGUACUUCCUUGGACUUCAAAUCAAACAAAACGAGGAAGGAAUUUUCACAAAUCAAGCCAAGUACGUGAAAGAUCUACUCAAAAGAUUUGGCUAUGAUAAUGGAACGGCAAAAAACACUCCAAUGAGUACUACCAUCAAGUUGGACAAAGAUGAGAAAGGUAAGGAAGUUGACAUCAAGACUUAUCGAGGUAUGAUCGGAUCCUUACUCUAUUUGACUGCUAAUAGGCCUGAUAUUAUGUUUAGUGUAUGCUUGUGUGCUAGAUUUCAAUCUUGUCCUAAAGAGUCACACUUGUUUGCUGUUAAACGAAUUUUUCGAUGUUUGAUUGGCACCAUUAAUCUUGGCCUUUAGUAUCCUAGGGGAACUCAUAUUGACUUAACUUGUUAUUCGGAUGCUGAUUUUACCGGAUAUAAAGUUGAUAGAAAAAGUACUAGUGGAACAUGUCACUUCCUAGGCCAUUCACGUGUCUAUUGGUUUAGUAAGAAACAAAACUCGGUUGCUCUUUCAACUACAGAGACCGAAUAUAUAGCCGCUGGCAGUUGUUGUGCAUAAAUUCUUUAGAUGAAACAAACUCUUAGAGACUGUGGUAUUAAUCUUAAUCAAAUACCUAUCUUGUGUGACAAUACUAGUGCUAUUAAUCUAUCCAAGAAUCCCAUUCAACAUUCUAGGACUAAGCAUAUAGAAAUUCGGCAUCACUUCCUUAGAGAUCAUGUUCAAAAAGGAGAUGUUGUAAUUAAAUUUGUUUCUAGUGAAAAUCAACUUGCGGAUAUCUUUACAAAACCUCUUAAUGAAGAGAUUUUUAUAAAGAUAAGACAUGAGCUUGGAAUGAUGAAUGUUGCAUCUUGAAUCUUGAUUUGUUGAUUAAGUUGAUAUGUUCCUUAUUGUAUGAAUUUAUGCUUCAUGAAUUAAAUAGCAUGAUAUGUUUGUUAUUUUAUGAAUUUAUGUUUCAUGCAUUAAAUGGCUUAUUGAAAAGUUUUGAAUCUCAAACUGAUUUAAAAUUAAUCAAUUUUAAAGUCAAAAAUAAAAUGGUGUGUAUAAUAUAAGUCUAAGAGAUUGCCCAUAUUCUCUGAGUCAUAUUCCUGAUAACCGGAUUGAAAAACCGAUAAACCUUUUUAUUAUCUCUUUUUCUGGAAAGAAUCGGGUAACCGGUUAUAAAAUCUAGAAAACCGGAUUUUGUUUUGGUGCUUACUAGAACAAUCUGGAUAAACCGGUUAUGUAAAUCCGGAAAUCCGGAUUCGAGCUGCACUUUGGCAGCAUUCUGGAUUCAUUCGGCCAACCGGUUAGGCAAACUGGUAAGCCGGUUUCAACUUGCAAUAUUAUGGAUCCAACCGGCAAGUCAGUUCGUGAUAUCCGGAAAACCAAAUUCGCAAACUGCCUUUGCUGGACAGAACCGGAUAACCGGUUAUUCAAUCCGGAAAUCCAGUUUUCAUUGCAAGCUCACUGUCCACAACCAGUUAACCGGUUAGGCAAAUCCAGCAAGCCGGAUUCGGGCAUAUAUACACUGUUCAUCUUUUUCUCCCCUCUUUCGGUAAACCGGUUAGCUUUCUCUCUCUAAAACCGAUUAUUCCUCUCUCAUUUUCUCUCCAAAAUCCAUCAUUUUCACUUGUUUUUAAUGCAAAUUGAUCCAUAAAACUUGUUUCCCAUCCGUUAUUGUAUCCAAAAUCAUCCUUCAAAUCCUUUUUCAACCUCAAAAUCACUAGAUCCAAAAUCAAAUCUAGGGUUUCAACCAAAUUUUUCUCUCUCUAGAUUUCUUCAUCUUCAUCCAUUUUUUAACCAAAUUACCUCUCAAACUCUAUUUCAAUCCUCAUAAUCUCCCUUCUCAUUGCCUUAUUUCACUUCAAAUCAAACAAAAUCACCAUGUCAAGCUCACGGCCAGUUCAUGGUAAAGCCAAAGAACUCGUUCAACCCACCAAACGCUCACAGCAAGUAGGGGGCUCCUCCAAUCAGUCUUCCUUUGAGUCCACGCAUUUCCCAGCCAAGCAUUUAGUCAAACGAUUUCACCAACAAUUCAUGACUUGAGAGAUACUCCAAACUUUCUUCGUUUUAUCGGAUUAGUUGAAUAGUCUUAGCAUUAGUAAUAGAACUUUAUUACAAUUGUUGGAAGAUGUUGGUUGGAUUAAUGCACUUGUUUUUGAGGAAAAUGUAUAUCCCGACUUGGUGAAAGUGUUUUACUCGAAUAUGGAUUGUUUCGCGGAGAAAGAGAAUCGAGUAAUCACCAAAGUUGGAGGAGUUUCAAUUGAGUUUGAUGAUUCGGAGUUGAACUCUAUCCUAGGAACUUCCGAUGAUGGCCUACAAAUUUUUUCACCUAGGAAAUCUCCUGAUAUUAAUCACUAUGUUCAUAUUGAUGCUGUUAAGAAUAUAUGUCGUCGUAUUAACCUUUCGGAUGAUAAUUGUACUAUCCAUUUCCGCACCCAAUGUCUUUGUCUUUAAACUCGAAUAUUACUUCGUUUUAUUCAGAGUAUUGUGCUUCCUAGAUCAGGCCAUUUGGAUGAGGUUUCUCAUAUGGAUGUUGCCUUGAUUGAUUGUAUUCUUAGACAUCAUCCUGUCGACUUAGGAUACACCAUUGUCUGAAACAUGCUUUGUAUACCUAAGUUGAUUACACGUUCCCUUCUGUAUGGCCAUUUCAUCACCUGAAUCCUCAAAUACUUUAGCGUCCCUAUCUGUGAACCAUCAUGUAGGCCAUCUAAGAGCAUUGGGGUUGAGGCUAUUAGUUCUUUAGGUUUUGAGUGGCAAAAUGGAACUUGGGUAAAGUUCACUGAUAACAAGUUCACCUUUCUUGCUCCAAGUGAUUAUCGGCCACUUAAUGCUGUGGUUCCAGCCGAUCAGCUACCUGUGUUUUCGCUUUCAUUUCGGGGUCAGCGUAGACAUCGUGAUCCUUCAGUGUCUACCUCUGCUCCUGCAGCCUCUGCACCUGUUGUGCCAUCUCCCGAGCCUCCUAUUUCUGAAGAGGUUACUCUUCAACAGCUUAUGAAUGAGGUGAGGACACUCUCUGUGCGGCAGACUGAGUUUCAGCAGCAGCAGUAGUAGCAGCUCAUUCAUGGACAACGCCUCCUCUUUGAGCACUUCGGCAUUCCAUACCCGUAUCCACCUCCAUCACCACCAUCCUCACCACCUCAGUAGUCUCUUAUACUUGUAUUUGGACACACUUACAUUUCAUUUACUGCAUUAUGUUCUUUUAUUUUCGAUUACAUGGAUGGUUUUUAUGAUUUUGGAUUAUGUAUUUGUUUUGGAUGAUAUGGAUUUGUUUUGAUGGUUUGUUAUUUCAUGGAUGAUAUGUUAUUUCCUUAUGCUUUGGAUAGUUUUGGACUAAUAUGUUGUAUUGAGAUUUCGAUGAUUAAUAGAGGGAGCUUUUAUUCUUUUUGAUGAUGAAGGGGGAGAUAUAAUAUGUAAAGGGGAAAUAUGGGAAAUUCAUUUGUUACGAAAAAUAUUCAUACGAUUCAUUUGUUAUGAAAAAUAUUCAUAUGCACUUAUGCAGGGGGAGUUUUUCAAAUCUUUUUGAAAUUAGUCUUUAAACCUUGCAUUGAUUAAGGGGGAGCUUUUCAAAACUAAAUUAAAUUUUUAUAAUGUGUUUUGUCAUCAUAAAAAAUGGGGAGAUUGUUAGCCUAUAUGGCUAUAGAUAUUGAUUUUAAUGAUAACAAACCACAUGUGUUGAUUAAAUAAAGAUUUAUGUAUUGUGCUUUUUAGUAAGAAAAUGAUUUUAUGGAAUUAAGUUGUUGUGGACUAAAAUGAAAGAAUUUUAUAAUCUUUGAUAUUGUUUUAAAUUUCAGAUUUAGACCUAUUUGAAAAUAUUUAAAUAUUUUGGGUCAUUCUAUAAUUUCAUAUAUUUUGGGUCAUAUCAUAAUUUCAUAAAGAUUUGGGAUUGACAAAGUAUUAUUUAGAAAUUCUGAAAUUGGACCUAUUUGAAAACUUUCAUAACGUUUUAGGUCAUACUAUAGUUUUAUAAAGUUUUGGGGUCAAAAUAUAAUUUUAGAAAAUAAUUCACUGUAGUAGUUACUGUAGCAAGCGGCUAUCCGGAUCCUGACAAAUGACAGACCAGAUUUGGGCAGAAAGCUUCUAGAACAUAAACGGCUAUCUAGAUUUCACAAGUGGCAUACCAGAUGUUCAAAAAUUCAAAUUUUGGCUAUAACGGUAACAUUAAGCGGCUAACCGGAAGUCCAUAAACGGUAAGCUGGUUAUCACUAAAAUGUGCAUAACAACUAGUUUUUGAGUUCAAACUAUAUAAACCCAAAUCCAAUUCAUUUUCAAGCUCUCUUGCAAGCAAAAUAAAAAAGCACACAACAUUCAUUGAGCUCUCAUUUCGUAAAUCAUAAAACCUUGAAUCAUCUUUUGUUCUUCAAUUUGUAUAUCUACUCUUUAAGAGAGUUUUUAUUAUAAUCUUCAAUUCCUUAUCUUAAUUGUGAGUGUUUGAGUGUGUGAGACACUUGAGUGAAGAGAUUGGGAGAUAAUCUCUUUGUUGUAAAGGUUCAUUGACACCUUGAAGUCAAUUGUAACCAUUUGAAGCCUUGGAAGGCUUGCAUAGUGAAAUCCUCAAGCUUGGAUUGUUUGGAGGUGUGGACGUAGGCGAGGAUUGCCGAACCAUGUAAAAAUUCGUGUGUUUGUUUCUCUUCUCUCUUACUCAUUUGUUAUUGUGCUUUUAUUGAACUCAUUGUUUCAAAUUUAUUAAGGCUUUAGAUUGGAUUGUUGUGUAGUUUUGUUAGGAUAAUUCUUAAAAAUACCAAUUCAUCCCCCCUCUUAGGUUGCACACUUGUAUUUCACUAAGGAGCUGGUACACCAAUGUAAAAUCUAGACAAGAUUAUUACUAUAUGUCAAUAGUGAGUCAAAACAACCUAAAUAAAUCAGAGAAAGAUAAAGUAAACUUACAAAAUUAAGUCCAUCGAUCAUGUUGAGACUUCAUCUUCAACUCAAGUUUGAAACUAAAUUAGCUACUCAUUUUUUAAUUAAGGGUAAAAUGAAAAUUUUAUUAAAAUACUUACAAGAUACAGGAUAGAAAGGGAAUUAUAGAAAAUGGAGCAAAAAAUGAAUUCAGGGGUGUUAAAUUUGGGGGAGCAACCCCCUUAUUUGUAGAUACAUCGAGUAAAUCAUGCCCAUCAGAUGAGAUUAAAUAGAACACAUCAUCAGGGUUGUGAUUCCGUGUACAUUCCGUGUAUGUGCAUGUAUCGUACACGCAUUUUUCAAUCCACUAAUAUGCUACAAUGUCAUCAGUUAAUGCAAAAGUCAACUCUUUGGUCCAAUAAUAUAUUGCACGUCAUUAAUCAACGCCACCUUAUCUGGUCAACGCCACGGUCAAUAUUUUUGGUUGAAUAAGAUGUCACGUCAUCGGUCAAUGCCGACAUUGUUCAUGUAUACGAUUUUUCCUUUUACGUUCUUCUGGAGGUUUUUAGUUGUUCUAAGCUAAAAAAUGCUAUUUGUAAGGUUCAAUUCUCUUACUUAAAUAUAAUAGAAUUUAUUUUGAGCUAACAAGCUCCUUUAAGUAUUAAAAUAAUAAUAAUAAUAUGCAAUAUUUAAGUCUAAGAGAAGUAAUAACAUAAGUGAUUAUGCAAUGACUAAAUAAUAAUGACAUAAUCUAUGAUAUAAGUGAUGAGGUAAGAGAAGUUGUAGAGAUAGAUAAGAAUUCUAGAAAUUAGUAAGGUAUUUAUGAAGGAUAAUCUCAACCAUUAAUCAAGAGUUAUGGUGGCAAAAUCCUAGCCAUCUAUUAGCCUUAAGAAAUCCUAUAAAUACCCCCUGACCCCUUUCAUUUUCAAUCCAACCUAGGAAUUAAAACAUUUGUUUAGGAGAGAAUCAAAGCAAUUGAUAAGUUUACUCUCCUUAUUCCCAACAAGAUUUCCAAUCCCUCUAUCUAGGGUUUAUAUUAGCAUGAUUUUAUAUUGUUACAGAUCAUAAUACAUGAUUUAAGGUGUGUUUAGGUUUUGUUUAGGGUUCCGGUUUAUUGUGGGUUUUAAUAAUCAACCCUUGGUGCAUUAAGCACACUGGACAAAUUCUGGACAAUAUGAGUAUCUCGAAUUCAAACAUAUAUUUUCUGAACGAUUUUUCUUAAAAACUUUAUAUUUCUGAAAACUAGACAUGUAGGGCUUAUUGAUUAAAAUUUGUUUCAUAAAAUGUGACUUUGUUUUCAAUUUUAUAUAGAUAUUUGAAUCGGACACUAAUACACUGGAAAAUUGUAAUUCCAACAAGGCGAUCAGAUUUACAAACUUAUUUGUACUAUUAAAUGAACUCGAAAAAUUCUGAAAUAUUAUAUAGGAGUUGAUACAUGUGUCUCGUGUUCCAAGUUUUAAUUUCAUAAUUUUCUGAAUAGUAUAUGAUUUUAUAAAAAUCUCCGAACCCGUUCUGUUCAGUUAAGGUACUGUGAAACAGUUUCGAAUUUGUCAAGUAAUAAAUUGUUUUGAAAAUGUUUUUGGUAUCGGAUCCUUUUGAAAAUUUUAUAUGAGAUACCCAUAGAUGUCCAGAAUGGUUCUGUAGAAUAUUAUCUCAUUUUGAGUUUUAUAUUAAGAGUUAAAAUUCUGAGAAUCAGACUAGAAUGGGUAUGAAUUAGAAAAUUUGAUUAUUAGGAUAAGUUAUUGAUAGUUAUGUCUUAUAUUUGUUAAGGUGUUGGAGGUGAUUGAGGCUUUUAGAGGCUUAGAGGUGUGUUAGUUCAAAUCCUUUUAUCGAGGUAAGUAACUUCAUUCCUAAUGUACUAGAUAUGCAUGAUUAUUUUGUUAUUAUUACAAGUAUUUUUACACUAUUUAGAAGAUUUAAUUGAUUUCCAUAAAAAAAUCAGUUUGUGUAAAUGUUUUCAAAUCUAAACUCUUUUUAAUAAAUUGUUUUGUAAAUGCUUUUAAAUAUGUAAGUUAUUUUGUUACAUGACUACCUUUUAUGAUUUUAUCUGUAAAAUAUUUUGCAAACCUAAAUUAUUUUUAUGGACUUUUAUGAUUAUGAUAUGAAUGUUUUGUGCCUAUGUAUGAUUUCAAUUAUUUGUGAUUGUAUGAGGGCCACCUCUUGAGACUAUAUGGGGGCCACCUCUUGAGGGCCAAAGUGUCGCAAAGUGCCACGUAUAAGUCAUUGCAUAUGAAAAACCAAUUAGAAUUGUUUUGGGUCAUUGUCCGUAGUUACUCUGAUUAUGAUUCUGAUCAUAUUAUACGAUAUAUAUGUUCUGGACCAAUACUGGGUUUCUGUUCUGAGUGUGCACACGAUGUUCUAAUUCUGUUUUUGGCCAAGUCACCGAGACUAUAUGUGACACUAUGUGACAUGAGCUAACUAUCUGCUUUCUGUGUACGCAUUAUAUAAUUUGCUUUCAUAAUUGAUUAUUCUUUUGAUAUUCUGAAUUAGCAUGAUUUUAUGUCAUCUUAUUGAAAGAUGUUGUUCUAUGAAAUUUAUGAAUUGUAACAUAUGUUUUAAAUGAAAGAAGGCUUGCAAUAAUUUUAGUAUCGGUACGGCUAAUGUGUUAGGAAUGGUUUUACUUACUGAGUUGAUGGCUCACCCCUCGUCAUUACGUUUUGCAUAUUAAGUACUUUUCAAGAGGUGUACUUAGCUUAGAGUUAGAGAUUUCAUUUCCUCUUUGCUAUUUGAAUAAGAGAAGAAAUGGACUCAUGUUUUUUUUUAGUAUAUUUCUGUUAUGAACUUGUAAUUUGGAGUUUUGAGACUUUUGUUAUUUUUAUGUUUCAAAAGAGAUUAUUUAGUGUUAGAUGUAUGAAUUUGUGGAUUUAUUUGAACAAGAAUUUGAGGUAUUUCAGUUUGGAAUUGAUGAGUAAGGAUUAUGAUUUGUAAGUAACCUCCUUCUUCACGUGCUCCGCACUUGUUAGAUUUGGGGUGUUACACUAUCUGUUCUAUUGUUCGACUUCCCAUUAAUUAUGAGAUAACCAAAAUACCCUUGAAAUAUAUAAAACACUCAAAAUAUAAUGAAACACAAACAAUCGAAGUUUAAAUAACUUAAAUACGUAAAAGUAGAAAUGUUAGUGAUACUUAGAGUGCAAAAUAACUAUUCUAUUGUUUAUAAAUAUGUAUUUUUUAGCACUCAACAGAAACCAUAUUAUGUAGGAAAUACUUCAAUGAUAACUAUUAGGGUUUGUACUAUUGGCAUUGUUAUGCCAAUAAUAUUGUAAUUUAUUUAUUCCUUGUAUUAAGGAUUUGUCUAGGCUUGGAUAUUUAUUAGAUUAGAUUAUAUAGAAUAUUGAAAAUUAUUUUUUAUGCAUAGAGAUGCAAAUUGGUAGGUGCAUGAAGAGUUCCAAAUAAAAAUGAUUGUUGCAUUCGUAAGGCUAUCAAUUAUUUGUAGGAUAUUAGACUCUUAAGCAAGUAUAUCCUAGUACUCCUCUACUAGGGUCUGGGUAAAAUACUACAAUUAUAUUAAGGGAACUAUUUCAUUUAUUAAAGACUGAAAAAAAACAUCGUAUUUUAUGUCAAAGAAGCAACUGUUGGUUAAUUUCUAUAAGUAAUUAUUAUCAAUGCCAAUGUGCAAGUAUACACAACAAGUAAUAAAGCGAUGAGUAUUCAAGAUCGUCUCCACAUGGAUUGAUGUUACUCAAAAUACUAAAGCAAAUCACAAUAAUACAAAUCAAUUAAUGACCGAAACAAACAAUUGUUGAAUAAUUCUAUGUAACUAAUAGUUGAAAAUAAAACAAUACUGUAAUGAAAUAAACUGAGUUGAAUGUGUCUAAGAUUCAAUUGAGAAUAUAAUGGUUGAAUGAUCAAACUCUCCUAAUGGGAUGACUGUUGUUUACCAAAUUAGUACCAGUUGUUACAAUAAGUGUUGCAGCAAUGGGUAGAAUAAAUUUGCAUCCGCAGCCAUCGCAUGUUGGAAAUCUCAUACCUUUAAAUCUACUAACAAUGACCAGUUGCUCAUAUAUUUAUGGUAUGACAUUAUAACCUUUAAUCUCUCUACCCUACAAGGUGAACACCUAUGUUUAGAGUGUCACAAAUCUUAACUUCAAGUAUUGCCCUUAUGAGAUUCAAGAUAACCUAAUCCAGGAAACUCGACUUAAGAACAAGUAAUACUCUAAUAAUGUCCGCUAAGACAUGCCCUUUUUGCUGCUCUAUCUUAACUGAAACUAUUAAAUGGGUGGUCAACCGAAAUAACAGUUGUAUUAAUAAAAACUACUAGAGUAUAAUGCUACAGCAUUACCAUAACAAUAUAAAAGAACAGUCAAGAACCCAUUGGAUUAUUUGUCACUCAACCACAAGUAAAUUUGGUUCAUAAUCUGGAUGAGAAAAAUAAACACAAAUAUAUUGGUCUCGGAAUACAUCAAAUCAAUUAAAGGAAAAAGAUAAAUAUAAGUUGAGCACAAUGAAAAUCAAAGUCAAGUAAUUCUGCCCGAUUGUCCAAUGUUGCCGUAACAAUACUCUUCAAUUUUGAUCUUCUUCUCCUUCAUUCCUUCUAAUUACUCUAAUGUUAAUUCCUUGUCGCCCUUCUAUGUGGUGCACGCCUCCUUUUUAUAUUGCAAAUUAGGUUAAAACCAAAGCCCAUGAGCGUGCAUGUGUUUAAAUUAGGAAACAAGCAGAUCGCGACUUUAGGGCUGACUAGCGCCUAAAUUUUCUCCCGCACUACUCCCAAAUUGCUACAACACUGGUUGCUCUAACAGCCGCUACAACACUGUUUUAUUCCCGAUUGUGCUUUACUUCUUUUGUGGCCAUCUUCCUUCCUCUUCUUGCUCUUUUAAUGCCUCAACAUCCUCUCACGAAUUUAAAACCUACAAUUUAAAACCUAUUUUUAGCACAAAUUACUAUGAUUCAAUCAAAACUUAUUAAAACUCAACUAAAAUGAAUGUUUAUGCAAAAGGUACCCAAAAUGUAAUAAAAACACCUUAUUUGUUCUCUAAGUGACCUUGAUUCAAGUCUAGAAUUGAUGUAAUAACUCUCAUUUCCUAGAGUUAUCACACCCCCAAAUUUAAACCAUUGUUUGCCCUCAAGUAAUGACAUAUACUAAUAUUUCCCGCAAACAAACAUGCACACAACUUUAGCUCUUUUAUCCAAUUUGCAAAGAUUCUUCCACUUUCACAUCACAAUCCCAAUCAUACAAAAUGCCCAUAGUAAAUCAGUUCUAGACUUAAGCCUCUUUCUGUCUAUAGUGUGUGUGUGCUACUUUGAUUAAAUUCCAGAUAUGCUGUAACAUCACCCAUGGACUGCAGAAAUUUCAGCAGUGAUAUACUUUAUUCAUGAAAGGGGUAGCAUAAAUUUCACAUAUUCAAACUGUGAUUGUUCUAAUAUUGCUAAACUGGGGAGUCAUCAACCUCCUCACUGUAACAUUUAUCUUUCAUGUAAAUGUCAAUCACUUGUAAUGAUGACACCCAAUUACUCAAACCAUGCCCAGAUCAAAGUUGCUGCAGCAUAACUAUAACGUACUCUUAUCUAGAGGUAUCUUUUACUCAAAACUGAACAUGGGGCUCAUGAACAGACCUGGUUACUUGAUGCCUUAGACAGAGGAUUUUUUUGUUUUUUUAACAGUGCUACAUCAUUGCUCAUAACUCUUGCUACCUUUGAACACAAUUCUGCAUAUGGGGUACAUACUCAGAUCUGGUUUACUCAGCAACUUGAGUCAUUGGAAUAGAUUGUAUUUCAUAGAAAUCACAGUUAAUCAAACGUGCUUCUCCCCCCAAACUUAGGAUCUGUUCUAUUCUUCUGGCUUUGCUCUAGCAGUCUCAUACAAUUCAACCAAAGUCUAAGUGUCAGGACAGAAUUUCACUUUCAUCUAUAACUUAUCUCUACUUGGCAUUCUCAUAAUACUGAAUAACACUCAAUUUAUCUUUAUUAGGUAUUCAAAUCCAUACAAAAAUACCAUAUAACAGAGCUUCACACAACACAUACAUAAAUCACAUGCAUUCGGCAACAACCCCCCCAAACUUGAGAGAUGUUGUGUCCUCACAAGCAUACAUAACAACAGCUCACAAAUGGACAAACAAUAAACUAGUAAAGCUUUUUUUUUUUAACUGAAAUGAACUAGGAAAGAAAGAGUACUCCCCUGGGGUGGGGACUGUAGCACAGGACAUGUUGCUCAUCAGCGCUUCUUGGAUGCACUGCGCAGCUUAUCAUUUGGUGAAGCUUUGGGGGAGGUGGCUGGUAAUGUCUUGGUCUUUUUCACUGCGGGGCUGGUGAGAGGAGUGGUGGUUGGGGUUGUUGUAGCAGUACCUGUAGACGUACUGCCUUUUCUUUUGCUGGAUUGUCUUGGACUGGUGCGAAUAGAAUGGCUAGGAGUUUGUUGUGGAGGCUUUGGGGUCAAUGCAUCAGCUGCCUGGCCCUCAGCGGUGAUGGCAGCAAUAACCGUAAGUAGUUGCUUGGCUUGCUCAGAUGUAAGCAUAGCUCUGGCUGCUGCAGCAGCCAGCUCAGCAUCGACUCGCUCCAUCUCAUCUUCAGAGGCUGGAGGGGUUGCCAAUUUAGCUUUACCCUUAUUCUUCCUCUUACUCGCGAAAAUUGGAAUAGAGGGUUCCUCUUCAGGGUCUUCUUCCUCUUCUUCUUGAAUAAUGUGUUUUUUUCUGGUUUUGGUUUGAGCUGGGAUGGUUGGUUCCUCACUUUCUUUUUCAGAGUUGUCUUCUGCCUCUGAGGGUGAGCUAUCAGUCUCAGACUUGUCACCUUCGUCCUCAGGUGGUUCAAAUGGUUCAGCCUCUUCUGAGUCGACUGCUGCUUGUGGCUCAGUGGCAGCUUCCUCUGCUGGUUCAUCUGAAGCAGUGGCUUCUUCACUGGUUACUGCUGGAGCACCUGUGGUGUUGGUGUCAAAAUUAAACUGCUGGAGCAGUGCAUCAGGGAAGUUCCGGUGAGUGCGUUUCAUAUACAGAGCAAAUUGGUGUAGUUGGUUAUCCAGGUGCUGUAGAUAGCUCCAAAAUCGACCAUUUUCCCUCUGUUGAGCUUCUACACAUUGAGUUAUACUAUUGCUGAGUGCCUGGAUAGUCUGUUCUAACCCAAUAGCUCGUCUUGCUCCAGUGACAACAGCUGGUUCAGUGGUUGUUCCAGCACUCUCACCAGCAACUCUCUCAAUUGUACAUGCCGUAAAGCCACCAUCAUUUUUUACAUGUUCAUCUCUGGCGUCAAGACGAACACCUGCUCACAGGCAAUUUCAGCAGGUAAGUUAUAGAAAGCAUUGAUAACACGGGAGUCUAAUGGGACAAGUGUAUUUCUUACCAAAUUGGCGUAAAAUUCUUUGACAACGGGCAGCACAUGAUCUCGAGGGUGAUUGCAAAACUCUAGCCAUCCUCACUUUGCCACAGCAUUAUGAAUGGUUUGCACAAUUCCCGUGAGUUGGUCUGGGAAUUGAAACCCUUUUUCUUCCAGAAUUCGACGCGGCUCUAUGAAUUCUUCAUAUUUUUCUUUAGCGUGAUAACUCUGGAAUCGUGAUGGAUAUUUGAGGUGGCUUGCUGUUUUCUUGUAUCUCGGCAUUGCUGUAGCAGUAACAAAUUGACGUUACUGUUCCUGAGAGUAAAAAGAGAAAAAUAGGUUAAGAAUUAGGAGAGUUGGAUUUUGUGAAGGAGAUGGGGAAUAAUGGCAUAGAGUACUAAGCACAAUGACUCCUUUUUAUAGUGGACUUUUAAUUGGAGAUAAAUACGGUAACUUGAAAUAAUUUAGGGACUAAAAUAUUUUGAGUUAAAUGUGCAUAUCCCAAAAUCAUCAGCCAAUGAAUUUAAAGCUCUAUUUUCGGAGAUUUGUUUCCGCAAUUUCUAUCCAUAUCCAUGCAUCCAUCUGUCACGAUUUUAUCUCCAACGGUAAGUGAAAGGCUCCAGGUUUUAAUUUACUGUAACGGUACAAUUAGCUGCUGCAACACCCAUUCGCUUAUUCUAACAACGGAUACAUACUCCCCACUAAAAGCUUCUGACACGUGGUUCACCUCUGAAUUCUGCCACCAUACAUUCUCACGUGUCAAUAUAGAAUUCAAUUGUCACACUUAUUAAAUUCAAGUCUAAAAUUAUUUAAAGACAUAUAUAUAUCAAAUUAAAGUGAAACUAAAGUAUGCCAUAAUGGAAAAAGAUAAAAAUAAAUGGUUAACAUGGAAAAACAAGAUUAAAUAAAAUGGUAAAGAGGGAGAGCUGUCCAUAAAAUCAAAAGAUAUCAAAAUUGGUUUGAAGUGGUUGUCUCCUCAAUGGGCUGCUUCCCAUGAAGCGCUUGAUUUAAGGUUCUUUAGCCUGACCUUCUAUCUUUGCUCAAUAGCUGGGUUCUUUAAGGAGUAACACCUCCUUUGAACAUUCUGCUACUGGAUGUAUAUAAUGUUUAACCAUGUGCCCAUUAACCUUGAACUCAUGGCCUGUUUGUUCAUCUAGAAGAUCAACAGCUCCAUGAGGGAAAGAUUUUAACAACUUAAACGGGCCAGACCAUCGUGACUUGAGUUUUCCUGGAAACAAUCUUAGUCUUGUGUUGUGGAGCAACACUAAUUGACCAGGGGUGAAUUUCCUGUGUUGAAUAUGUUUGUCGUGCCAGUGUUUUGUUCUCUCUUUAUAGAUUCUUGCAUUUUCAUAUGAAAAUAGCCGUAAUUCAUCAAGCUCACAAAGUUGAAGUUUCCUUUGCUUUGCUGUAGCAUGCAUAUCCCAAUUUAAUUUCUUCAGUGCCCAAUGGGCUUUGUGCUCUAGCUCUAGUGGCAAAUGACAUGCUUUGCCAUAAACAAUUCGGUAAGGAGACAUGCCGAGUGGAGUUUUGUAUGAUGUUCUGUAAGCCCAUAGAGUGUCAUGCAAAUGUAAAGACCAAUCCUUCCUUGUUGGGUUCACCACUUUUUCUAAGAUCUUUUUAAUUUCUCUGUUGGACACUUCAGCCUGACCAUUGGAUUGUGAGUGAUAUGAUGUUUCUAUCUUGUGUCUGACUCCAUAUUUCAUCAUUGCUGCGGAAAAGAUUUUGUUGCAAAAAUGUGUGCCUUCAUCACUAAUAAUUGCUCUAGGAGUGCCAAACCUGGAAAAAAUAUUUUUUUGAAGAAAAGACACCACUGUUUUAGUAUCAUUGGUAGGUAGUGCUACAGCUUCUACCCACUUGGAGACAUAAUCUACAGCAACAAGGAUAAAUAAAUUCCCAAAGGAUGGGGGAAAAGGUCCUAUAAAAUUUAUUCCCCAAACAUAAAAAAUUUCACUUCCAGUAUGUUAGUCAAUGGCAUCUCAUGUCUGCUAGUUAUGUUCCCUGUCCUUUGACACCUGUCACAACAUUUAACAAAUUCAUAAGCAUCUUUAAAGAUAGUGGGCCAAUAAUAACCUGAUUGCAUAACUUUUGCAGCUAUUCUAUGACCACCAAAAUGUCCUCCAUAUCCUGCAGCAUGACAUGACUCCAGUAUUUGAGGUAUUUCUUCUGCUGCAACACAUCUUCUUAUUACUUGAUCUGAGCAUAGCUUAUAUAAAUGUGGGUCAUCCCACUGAUAACUUCUAACAUCAUGAAGAAAUUUCUUUUUCUCUUGAAAUUUCAGCUUAGGUAGUAGCAACCACUUACUAAGUAGUUAGCAAAGUCUGCAUACCAUGGAGGUUCUGACUGCUGCAGCAUCUGUGAUUGCUGUAUUACCAACAGCUGUUCAUCAGGAAAAGUUUCAGUGAUGCCCUUCCUUGUCAAUGUACUAGUGUCUACUUCCAGCCGUGACAAGUGGUCUGCCACUUGAUUCUCAAUCCCCUUUCUAUCUUUAAUUUCCAGAUCAAAUUCUUGAAGCAAUAAGAUCCAUCUGAUUAAUCUUGGUUUGGCAUUCUUUUUUUAAAUUAAAUAUUUGACGGCUGUAUGGUCUGUGUAAACAGUUACUUUGGUACCCACCAAGUAAGCUCUGAAUUUUUCAAAAGAAAAAACUACUGCUAGCAACUCUUUCUUUGUAGUGGUGUAAUUGAUCUGAGUUGGAGUGAACGUUUUGCUUGCAUAGUAUAUGGAAUGAAAAAACUUAUCCUUUCUUUGCCCCAAUACUGCCCCCACAGAAUGAUCACUAGCACCACACAUCAAUUCAAAUGGUAAAGUCCAAUCUGGAGAUAUAACUACUGGAGCAAUGAUUAGAGCUUUCUUUAGUUCUCCAAAUACUUUAAGGCACUCUGUGUCAAAGUGAAAUGGUUUUUCAUGCUCUAGCAAUGAACACAGAGGCUUAGCUACCUUGGAGAAAUCUUUAAUGAAUCUUCUGUAGAAUCCAACAUGACCCAAAAAACUCCUAACACCCUUUACUGAUGUUGGAGGUGGCAGCUUAUCUAUUACAUCUAUCUUGGCUUUAUCUACCUCAAUACCAUCCUUGGAUAUCUUGUGACCCAGCACUAUUCCUUCUUGCACCAUGAAAUGGCACUUUUCCCAAUUGAGUACUAAGUUGGUCAUCUCACAUCUUUUAAGAACGUCUUCCAAGUUGUGUAAACAAUCAUUGUAUGUUUCUCAAAAAACUGAGAAGUCAUCUAUGAAAACUUCCAAAGUUUGCUCUACCAUUUCAGAAAAUAUAGACAUCAUGCAUCUCUGAAAAGUUGCUGGAGCAUUGCAUAGCCCAAAUGACAUUCUUCUUAAGGCAAAUGUUCCAUAAGGACAAGUAAAUGUAGUCUUCUCUUGAUCCUUUAGAGCUAUAGCAAUCUGGUUGUAGCCUGAAUACCCAUCUAAGAAACAGUAGUAUUGUUUUCCAGCAAGUCUGUCCAACAUCUGAUCUAUGCAUGGAAGUGGGAAAUGGUCUUUCCUUGUGGCUUUGUUGAGCUUCCUAUAAUCCAUACAUACUCUCCAUCCAGUCACUGUCCUUGUAGGAAUAAGCUCAUUCUUCUCAUUAGCCAUCAUUGUUAUCCCUCCUUUCUUGGGAACAUAUUGAACUGGGCUCACCCAUGAACUGUCUGAUAUUGGGUAUAUAAUUCCAGCAUCUAACCAUUUGAUGAUUUUCUUCUUCACCACUUCUUUCAUGAUAGGGUUCAACCUUCUCUGGUGCUCAACUGAAUUGCUGAAGCAAUCUUCUAGCAGAAUUUUAUGCAUGCAAAUUGAUGGGCUUAUCCCCUUUAUAUCUGUCUUGGUCCAUCCAAUUCCUCUUCUGUAUUUUCCAAGCAAAUCUACUAAACUAUGUUCUUGACCUGCAUCCAAAGUAGAAGAGAUGGUUACAGGGAGUGUGUUAUUUUGACUAAGAUAAGCAUAUUUUAAAUGUGAAGGUAAUAGUUUCAAUUCAAGACUAGGAGGUAAUUCAAUAGAUGGUAAAACUGUUUUUACUUCCCUGUCUGAAAGAUUCAGAUGCUCAAUGAACCUGGUGUGCCUAUCAAAUUGCUUUUCUUCCAUCCAAUCUGUCUGAAUUGCUGCAACAUUUUCCUCUUCUACAUCAUCAAAGGUAUUGACUCUGUUAAAUGCUUUACUGCAGCAUCUAUCCAUUCUGUCUGCUACAACAAAAUCCACUACACUCAGGAAGUUGCAGUCUUCUACUUCAUCAAGGUUUCUCAUAGCUUCUAGUACAUUAAAUGUGACUUGCUGAUGAUUCACUCUCAUGGUGAGCUCUCAUUUCUGAACAUCUAUCAGAGUCUUUCCAGUUGCUAGGAAAGGUCUUCCAAGUAUAAUGGGUACCUCUUUAUCAACUUCAAAAUCCAGUACAAUGAAAUCCACUAGAAAGAUGAAUUUAUCAACCUUCACCAGUACAUCCUCUAUUUUUCCUUCAGGGUGUGCAUGAGAUUUGUCAGCCAAUUGCAGAGUGACUGUUGUUAGUCUCCAUUCCCCUACUCCAAGCUGUUUAAAUACAGAUAAUGGCAUCAAAUUAAUGCUAGCUCCCAAGUCACAAAGUACUCUGCCAGCAUACCUAGUCCCUAUAGAGCAGGGUAUUGUAAAACUCCCUGGAUCUUUCAAUUUUGUGGGAAUUUUACUCUGGAGCAUAUGACUGCUUUCUUGUGUUAAAGCAACAGUUUCAAACUCUCCCAACCUUCUUUUUCGUGCCAAGAUAUCUUUUAGAAAUUUCACAUAAUUUGGCAUUUAUUCCAAAGCUUCUACAAAAGGUAUAUUUAUGUGCAGUUGUUUCAGCACUUCCAGGAAUUUACUGAAUUGCUUGUCUUGUUUUUGCUUCUGGAACCUUUGAGGGAAGGGUGGUGGAUGUCUAAACUGCUAGUUAGAUUCAGUAGGUACCAAACUUCGUUUGUUUAGGGUAGUGCAAGUUGUGGCUACUGGUGUGGCAGCUUCCUUUUCAGCAUGAUCUGAUUGCAUUUCUUCUGUAGUUGUUGUAGCUUGGCCCAAUAAUUCAGUGUCUUGAUGGGGAUUUUUCUGUAGCAAGCUUCCUUUUUGAGUUGGUUUUUGUGCUGAAUUGCAUUUCAUCCCCUUUUUGGUUAUCUCAACUGGUAUAUCAACGUUCUUUCCAGAUCUCAAACUAAUUACUUUGCAGUGUUCUUUACUCUCUCUCCUGGGAUCUUCUGUGUUGUUAGGUAGGCUCCCUUGAGUUCUGCUGCUCAUGGCUGUAGCUAGUUGUCCCAUUUGGUUCUCAAGGUUUCUCAAGGACACAGCUUGACUCUGCACAAUUGCUUCAUUCUUUACAAUAUACUCCUUGAUCAGUGUUUCCAAUGAAGUGAUUGGAUCCUGACUGAUUUGUUUUUGCCCUUGACUCUGCUGAUGAAAACCAGGUGGCUGUGUGUUUCUAUUCUGUCUAUUGAAUGCUGGAGCAUUUCGAUUCUGACUGCUCCAUGAAAAAUUUGGUGUUGUUUCUAGCCUGGGUUGUAAGUAUUUGAAUAUGGGUUGUUCUGAGGUUGUCGAUUGAAGUUACCCACAUAGUUUACUGAGGCUGGAUUUCUAGGACAAUUAUCAAAAUCAUGUUCUUCACCACAGUAGACACAAGAAAGUUCAGUAACUUGCUUUACUGUUGUUGUAGCAGCUGUCAUGACUUUUACCAUGUUAGUCAAUGAGGUUACUUAAGCUGAUAAGGCUGUAAUUGCAUCAACGUUAUGUACCCCUACUGAUCCUCUUGCGGCUGGUUGCCUGGCUGAAGGCCACUGGUAAUUAUUGUUGGCAAUUCUUUCCAGAAUUUCAUAGGCUUCAGUGUAAGAUUUGGAUAACAGAGCUCCAUUUGCUGAAGCAUCCACCAUUAACCUUGUACUCGGAUUCAACCCAUUGUAGAAAGUUUCCAAUUGAAUGCAACAAGGGAUACCAUGAUGGGGACACCUUCUGAAUAAUUCCUUGAAUCUUUCCCAAGCCUCAUACAGACUUUUAUCUUCAAGUUGGUGGAAGGAAGUAAUCUCAUUCCGCAACUUUGCAUUUUUUGUCGGUGGGAAAUAUUUCAUUAAGAAUUUAUCAGUGAUGGAAUCAGAUGGUAAUGAAUUUAACCAUGCUCUUGCUCUAUCUCUUAAGGAAUAAGGGAAGAGCCUCAGCCUUAAGGCAUCUUGUGUCGCUCCAGCAAUCUUGAAAGCAUCUCUUACUUCCAAGAACAAUUUGAGAUGGAGAUGAGGAUCUUCAUUAGGCAAUCCAUUGAAUUGUCCCACUGUUUGUAACAUUUGAAACAUCACUGGUUUUAACUCAAAAUUUGCUGCUUCUACCUCAAGUCUGACAAUCCCAGGGUAUACAACUUGCGGAGUUAGUACAGCGUAAUCUCUUAUAGCUCUGUCUCUGUCAUCAACCAUGUAAAUAAUAUUGUUGUUGCCUGGAUGUCUCCCGUUAGCAUGUUCAUUCUGUUCUUCUUGAAUGUUGACUAGUUGUAGAGGCCCGUGAGGAUUCAAAUUUUGCGCAUCCAGUAAAUUAUUCAUGCUUGAAGCAAUUUCUGAAUUCCUUUUUUCUCUUCGUAGUUUCCUGACAGUCCUUUCAAUCUCAGGAUCGAAUUGGAAUGCCACAGAUCUGUCUUUGCGCAUGCAUGUACUGAUCUGCCAAUAAAUAGAAUGAAUCAAAUCAAAUUUGCCGCUAUCAAGAUUUACUUCACACUUAAAAAAUAAACAAUCAAUCCCCGACAACGGGGCCAAAAACUUGUUGGUUAAUUUCUAUAAGCAACUAUUAUCAAUAUCAAUGUGCAAGUAUACACAACUAGUAAUAAAAUGAUGAGUAUUCAAGAUCAUCUCCACAGGGAUUAAUGUUACUCAAAAUGCUAAAGCAACUCACAAUAAUGCAAAUCAAUUAAGGACUUAAACAAACAAUUGUUGAAUAAUUCUAUGUAACUAAUAGUUGAAAAUAAAACAAUACUGUAAUGAAAUAAACUGAGUUGAAUGUGUCUAAGAUUCAAUUGAGAAUAUAGUGGUUGAAUUAUCAAACUCUCCUAAUGGGAUUACUAUUGUUUACCAAAUUAGUACCAGUUGUUACAAUAAGUGUUGCAGCAAUGGGUAGAAUAAAUUUGCAUCCGCAGCCAUCGCAUGUUGGAAAUCUCAUACCUUUACAUCUACUAACAAUGACCAGUUGCUCAUAUAUUUAUGGUAUGACAUUAUAACCUUUAAUCUCUCUACCCUACAAGGUGAACACCUAUGUUUAGAGUGUCACAAAUCUUAACUUCAAGUAUUGCCCUUAUGAGAUUCAAGAUAACCUAAUCCAGGAAACUCGACUUAAGAACAAGUAAUACUCUAAUAAUGUCCGCUAAGACAUGCCCUUUUGCUGCUCUAUCUUAACUGAAACUAUUAAAUGGGUGGUCAACCGAAAUAACAGUUGUAUUCAUAAAAACUACUAGAGUAUAAUACUACAGCAUUACCAUAACAACAUAAAAGAACAGUCAAGAACCCAUUGGAUUAUUUGUCACUCAACCACAAGUAAACUUAGUUCAUAAUCUGGAUGAGAAAACUAAACACAAAUAUAUUGGUCUCGGAAUACAUCAAAUCAAUUAAAGGAAAAAGAUACAUAUAAGUUGAGCACAAUGAAAAUCAAAGUCAAGUAAUUCUACCCGAUUGUCCAAUGUUGCCGUAACAAUACUCUUUAAUUCUGAUCUUCUUCUCCUUCGUUCCUUCUAAUUACUCUAAUGUUAAUUCCUUGCUGCAUUUCUAUGUGGUGCACGCCUCCUUUUUAUAUUGUAAAUUAGUUAAAACUAAAGCCCAUGAGCGUGCAUGUGUUUAAAUUAGGAAACAUGCAGAUCGCGACUUUAGGGCUGACUCGCGCCUAAAUUUUCUCCCGCACUAAUCCAAAUUGCUACAGCACUGGUUGCUCUAACAGCCGCUACAACAUUGUUUUAUUCCUGAUUGUGCUUUACUUCUUUUGUGGCCAUCUUCCUUCCUCCUCUUGCUCUUCUAAUGCCUCAACAUCCUCUCACGAAUUUAAAACCUAUUUUUAGCACAAAUUACUAUGAUUCAAUCAAAACUUAUUAAAACUCAACUAAAAUGAAUGUUUAUGCAAAAGGUACCCAAAAUGUAAUAAAAACACCUUAUUUGUUCUCUAAGUGACCUUGAUUCAAGUCUUAAAUUGAUGUAAUAACUCUCAUUUCCUAGAGUUAUCAGCAAACCCACACAAAUAAUAAGAAGAAAUUGUAUUUAUCUACAUAGGACAUUUCAUAUGCUCAUGGAGUUUUAAUCUUCGAGUCUUUUUCACAUCAAGUCUUCUUCAUAUCAAGUUUUUCAUUUGACAUUCUUUGAAGUUUAUUUUGGUCUCUUCGGGAUGAAGGGAUCAAUUGUUUUAUUGAGGGAAUUUAAAGGAAGUAGGAAAUACAAUUGAAGAUGAGUAGUGCCUGCUAAGCAAGGUCAAUUGAGUUAGAUUCAACAAAAUGGUAGCAAGAGUAAGAGGAGUCUGAAAUUGUGUAAGAAUUCAAUAGACUGUAAUCUUUUCAAACUUAACGAACUGCUUAAUGCUUAGGCAUGGCUCUGUGGACAUAUGAUUGUGAUCUAAACAAUGUAAAAAUCCUCUACUUGCUUUAUUUUCUGCAAUUUACUGUUUCUAACAUAUUUGAUAGAUUUAAGGUGAAUCAACACUAAUGUAAGUUGUGCUAUAAAUAGUAAUGAUGAAUAGCACCUGUAAAAGGUGACUCAAAUGUUGUAUCAUAUGAAGAGUAACUAUAUACAGUGGCUCAUGUGAAGUAUCAUAUAAACAGUGAAUUGUAUACAGUAUUAUAUGAACAUUAACUUGUAACCAGUGAUUUUAGAAUUAAUUACUUAGCAUAAUUAAUUUUUCUAAUUUUCUUAUACUUGUUAAAGUAGAUCUAAAUUCUUAACAAGUGAUGUCAUUAAUAGUUUGUUUGGUGAAAUUUUAUGAUCUUGGUAUAUUUUUAUAGGUUUUGUAGAGAAGGGGAUUUGUUACUCGUCUACCAUUACUUGACAGCACAAUGAUUCUUAUUAUAAGCAAAGAGUGAGUAUUUACAUUGAGAACAUUGACGUAAGAGCAAUGAAUUGUGUUAGAGAAGGCUAUUCUGAUCAAGAUGGAAACGUGAUUCUUGAGCCUGUCAAUGAGUGCUCUAAUGCUGAAAUUCAACAUCCGACUUUAAUUCCGAGAUGCUCAAUGCUAUUGUCAAUGAAAAAGACAUCAAUUGACAUGAAUUAAUCUCUACAUGUACUGUUACUAAGGAAGCUUGGGACACUCUUCCAAACAUUCAUGAAAGAGAUAAUUUGAUAGAACAUUCUAAAUUUCAAAACAUUUCAACUGAGUUUGAAAAUAUUAAGAUGAAUUAAUAGAAAGAAAUUGAUAUUUCUGAUACUAAAUUUCUUAAGAUUGCUAAUACUUUGUAUUCUCUUGUAAAAGUUGUAGCUAUUGAAGAAUACUAUGAUAUUAGCAGAAUGACUGGAAAUCAAGUGGUUAGUAAACUUCAAACUUAUGAGUCGAGUCACUUAAAGAAGAAGGAAGAAAAAAAUAUUGCUUUUCAAGCUGAGAUAUAGAACUCAGAGAAUGAUGAUAUUGAGGAUAGUACUGGUGAUGAUAUGAAAUAUUUAGUAGAUAAUGUUGAUGAUGAUGUGAAAGAUUUAGUCCAUGGAUUAUUAACUAAGAAGUUUGAGAAGAUGGUGCUGAAAAAACAACAACAAAAAAAUUUAUCUAAACUACAACUUACACCAAAGAGUGAGCUUUCUCCUAAUUUUAAUUUUUUUUAAAGUAAGAAGGAUCUAAUAUUCAAUAUAGGGCAUGUGAUGGAAUGCCCUAAUUACAUCCUGAAAAAAAAAAAAAGCAAAUGUAAAAGCUUGGAGUGAUGAUAUUUUCAAUAAAAGCACUAAUUAUGAAAAUAUUGUUGGUGGGCUUGUUGUUCAUGAUAAGAAGUUGAGAAUUCAAAUUCUAAUGAUGAAAGAUCAAAACCACUUGAUGUUUCUGAUGGUUGUCGAAGCCAACAAAAAUAAAUUCCUACUCUAAAUAAAUUAUGUAUAGUGAUUGAGUAGGGUUGUGUCCACAGAGAUCGGUAAUUAUUUAAAUCCUUUUGAAACGUAAAACGUAAAAUGAGGGAAUUGUUGACAAUAAUAAAAAUCAAAUUAAAAUAACAAGAAUGCAAAUUAAAGUUGUAAUUCAAAUUAGAGAAAGCUCUGGUUGAAGGAAUUAACUCAGCUUGAUUCGACUACUGAUCAUUGAUUCAAAUAUAGAUUAUUAUUACUUACGAAUAGACCGGUUAUAGCUACUGAGACCCUCUAAUAGCCAAUCUCUCCUUAACUAGUCGAUAACCAAGGUACGACCGUUGGUUAUUUCCCUAAUCAAUAGACAACCCUAGAUACGAUCAUAUGAUUUAAUCAAUUGAUCGCGUGAAAAACCAGAGAGACCCAAAUCCUAAUCAACACAUAUGAUGAUUCAUUUAAAUUAGAUUGUUUAUUCUCACAACACAACUCUCUGCUAUGUUAUUUGUCACAAACAUUAAAUUCUUCAUACGAUGAAUCCUUUAAUUAACAAUAGAUUAAGUUGAUAAUUAAAUAGUGGCCAAUUACCUAAUUAACAAACAUAAUCAUGAAAAUAAUUCAGAGAAUAAAUAAAUACCCAAAAAGCAAUAAAACAAUUAAAGCACAAGAAAGAUCUCACAAUAUUGAUGAAUCAAAGCUGCAUUAACAUUCAACCAGAAAAAUAGGUUUAGUUUUUCAUAGAGAGAAGAGAAAAGUUUAGAUUUAGGGUUUCUUUCUUUUCUCCCAUCCCCCUUUUUCACAAUAGAUUCCUCUUAAAUACUCUCUCUCUCUUCUCCUUUAGAAUUCUAUUUAAAAUAAAAUACUAAUAUCUGAAAUAUUAAAUUCGUAAUUACAAAAAUAACCAAAAAUACAAAACACGUUAAACUAAAAACUGCAGGUCCAUAGUUGACAGCACGCGCCCACGCCUUAUCAACAAAGUUCUUCUGACGCUCAUAAUUUCUCCAAGAGAACAAUCAUCUUUAAACAUCAUCUUAUAGCUCAAUUUUAUUACAAAUCAAUAGAAUUGCACCUACAAAAGUAAAACACAAGUAAAUCAUUAUUAUUAAGUGCAAAACAUCGAUAUUAAGGGAAGUAAACAAUGCAAAACUAGUGCAUAAAUUUCACUCUAACAAAUUCCCCCACACCAAGAUGAUGCUUGUCCUCAAGCAUAUAACUCAAGAUUAAUCCCAAAGCUCCACUCAAUUCUCAUCUCAACUUAUCCAAAAACAAUUUUAAGCAAGUAUACCUCAAGAAAUUAAGUCGAUCAACAUUCGAGAGACAAGGAUUUUAAAGCAUAGAAUCUCAUAAGAUAAAUUAAGAACAUUCAACCACCAAGAAGAUCCAUUCAAAAUUCAAGUGCAACAAGAUUUAAUAGCCCUCUCAUUGACUUCACUCCAUGCACUCAAAGUGUUUAGGGUGUCAUUUAUUCACUCAAAUCAAAUCAAAGAAUGCUAUUACCAUAAGCUUGCUUAUAUAUCAUAUCUCAAUCCACAAAACAUGAAUUAAAUGCAAAAAUCUAAGGGUCUUAAAAGGUUGUAACAUGGUUAAAUAGGUUAAUUGAAAAAGAAAGGUUUAUGAAAGAAAAAGAGAUCAAAAUGAGAAGAAUGAACUCAUUGAACGAACUUUAUGAUAUCGAAACACUUAUUUCUACUCAAGUCACCAAGAAUGUAAACAUUUUUUUUCUUUUUUUUCGAUUUUUUCUUUUUCUUUUUUUUUCUUUUUCCUUUUUUUUUUUAUCAAACAAAAGAAACGAACCUUGCACAAUUUAAUUCAAGCAUAAUGCUUGUUGAUCUAAUUGAGAAACUUUAAUACAAGGUAGAAAAAGCAACAAAAUAUAUCCACACAAUGAGUCCAAAAAUCUCAUUAAAUUGAGGCUCAAAAAGAAGAAAAAUGGUUAAGUAGAUGGAGAGAAUUAGAUGGGUAAUGUUUAAGGCUCAAACAAAGAUAGUAAAUCAAGGUCUUCGGGUAGAGAAAAAAAAAUGCGAGAAUAGAAAAAUGGUAAAUGGUUUGCCCUUAUCAUUUUAAUGCAAAAAAUCCCGUAAUGUGGCUUCAACAUGCAUAACAAAGCAAGUUCUAGAAUAAACAAACUAAGAUUGAUAUUCACAUAAUAAAAAUAAUUAGAGCAAAGUGGUUGCUCAUAGGCUCAAAUCCUCACAAAGUUGGUAAAUUUGCCAUCAAAUCAUAUACACUCUUCAAAUGAAUCAACCAUCAAUAGUGGUGUAGAAUGAGAAGAAGGUAUGAGUGAAGAAAAGGUAAAAAUGAUAAGAAGUGAGAAAGAUGUAUGUAGUAAUAUGAAAAGUGAAAGAUAAAAUGUGAGUGAUGAAAGAGUAUGAUAGAAUAAAAAUAGAUGUAAAUAAUUUGAGAUAGAUGGGAAAAGAGUAGUGAGAAAGAAAAGAAAAGAAAAAUAAUAAUAUAUGAAGCAUACUAACUCCAAAAUCAUUUAAGGAUGAGUAGAGUGAAAAUAGAUGAGUAGAGUGAAAACAAUAAUUCCAGACAUCAAUAAUGCAAAAAUCCCUCCCCCACACCAAGAACUUACAUUGUCCCCAAUGUAAGAUAAUUAAAGCUCACAUAAAAAUUAAAGCGUAAGGAUAAAAGAUUAAGGGCAAAAAGAAACUUCCUUGAAUUGUGAGCUUUGAUCCACAUAACGUCUAUGGGCUUGGCGAAAAUGGUGGGGUAAAUCCCACACUCUCGAAGUAUGCGGCCAAAUUCUGCUCUAUCUUGUUCAGCUUGUGCUCCAUUUUCUCUAACUGAAUGCUCAAAGGUGGUGCGGAUGUAGAAGGAAUAGUUGGCGAGGCAGCAGUGUCGUCGUCAAACUCGUCAUCAGAGGUAGCACCACUCCUAGCAUAAAGCUUCUUCGGAAGUUGAAUGGGUCCUGGUUCAGUAAACUGAAAUCUCCCCUCCUUGAAUUCGACCACACCUGUUCUUUCAAACACAGACAUAUCCAAAAAUUCCUUUUUGCAAGCAGGAUGCAAAUCAUUAUUGUCGGGAUCAAGCACACAUAGGUUUAUAGCUAACAGAGUAAUGUAUGGACCAAGAAAUAAAGUCCUAUACCGUUUAAGCACACUUUGAAAUUGAUCCGCUAACCAAAAACUUAAAUUAGGCCUCACAUCAUUUAACAUGCACCAGAUAAAAUAAAAUUCAGUUUUAGAGAAAAUUUCUGAGUGAUCUUUCUUGCCUAAAAAAUUAUAUGCUAAGAAUCAAUGCACACAUUUCAAAGCAGGAUCACGUAAGAAAGAACUAUUUGAUUUACUCGGGUCAUAGGCAUUGUGAUCAACAGAUAAAUUACGCCAAAGACCAUAAGGCUCAAAAUUUUUGCCAAAGUCACAAGUUGUUCCUAAAUAUUCAUCACUAGUAGAAUAAUCAUCAUCAAUGAAUCCUAAAGCUAGGUUAAAAUUCGUGAUAGAGUGUGAAAAAUUUCGUCCCAUUAACCUAAACUUAAUGACAUCCGGGGUCUGCAAAGUAAAAUCAUUCGGCAUAGUAAAUUGAAAAGUAGCAUAAAACUCCCUAAUCAACUCAACAUAACCCAAGCAAUCAACAUCAACAAACUUACGCAACCCAAUCUUAUCUAUCAAAGAAUCAAAAUUAUCCUUAACAUUCAAUUUUUCAAGAGUCGGGUAAUGAAUAUACUUAGCUGGAAGUAUUUUGCACGUGGAAAUAUCUUUGUACCUCUCUUUCUCUUGUUGAGUCGCGAAUGCGAGGCACCCUCCGAGAUUGGAUUCCGCAAGUGGCAAAACACUCAUGCCUUUUCCAUGCUUCGAUCUUUGUCUCACGGCUUGGCGUGAAUCUGAAAUUGUGUUCCAUGGAACCGUAGUGGGAGCGGCAAUCUUAGAUUUCUUUGUGACGGGUGUCUUUUUCGAUGACUUGGAGGUAGAUGCUUUCCUCGUCGGCAUUGUUACAAUAAUUGCACUCACGGAUUUCAAUUUACCCGACUGGAAUACAGGGCGUAGGCUGGUUGCUUUGCGUUGCUACUCGACUGGAGCUUGUUGCGCGGGUUGGAGCUGGUUGCGUUGCGCGAUGCUACGCAGGUUGGGUUGCGGCUGCUCGUCUGUUGCUGCUCAGCUAGGUUGCGUGCACGAGACUGAUGCGCUGCGCGAUGGUGAUGGCUGGAUUGAUUUGCGCUGCGCGCGCGGGCUAGAGCUGCGGAUCUGCGUUGCGGGGCGUGCUCGUCUGCUGUGCGUUGGGGCUGCGUUGUGCGCUGGUGGGGCUGCAUUGCGCGCUGGUGGGACUUCGUUGCGCGCUGCUGGGCUGCGAGACACGGGAUGCUGGUGCUGCGUUCGCGGGAUGGUGGUCGAUGCUGGUGCUGCGCACGCACGGUGGUGCGUUUUCCGACGGGCUGCUUUGCUGCUGGUGUGCUGCAAGCGGCUGGAGAAGAAAACAAGUUCUGAAAAAUUAGGGAUUUUGUGAACAGUAAAAUUUUUUUUUUUUUUAACUGUGAUUUUUUGGAUUUUUUUUAUAAAUAAAUAAAUAUAUAAAAGAAAGAACAAAAGAAAAUCUCUUUUUUUUCGUUUUUAAAAAAUAAAUAAAUAAAUAGAAAAAAAUAAUAAUAAAUAAAUAAUUGUUUUGUUUUGUUUUUGUGAUGAAUCACUUUGAGACACCAAAAAUUUCAGAAGUACUUUUUUAAUAAGCACGUGGGCACGCCUUAAAAUCAUUUUACUUUAAAAAUCACAGAAGUACUUAUUAGUUAAGACGUGAGCACGCCUUAUCAAAAAUUUUCUUCUGACCAAAAUAAGCAAACACAUUAAAAAAAAUGAAUCAAAAUUAAAAGAAGAUAUAACAAAAACCAAAAUAAAUAAAUCAUUUGGGUUGCCUCCCAAAAAGCGCCUUUGUUUUAUGUCUUUAGCUAGACACAUUUAUGCAUCAAUCUCCAUAAUUGGGACUCUCGAGAGCCACAUCCUCCACAAUAUUCACCGAAAAACCUUCAUAAAAAGGUUUUAAGCGAUGACCAUUAACCUUAAAAACUUUGUCAGAGGUCGAACUCCGAAUCUCAACUGCACCAUGAGGAAAAACAUUAGUAGCAAUAAAAGGUCCAACCCAGCAGUAACGUAAUUUACCCGGAAAAAGUUUAAGCUUAGAAUGAAAAAGAAGAACUUUUUGACCAACAGAGAACUCCUUUUUCAAAAUCAUUUUAUCAUGAAAUGUCUUCGUUUUUUCCUUGUAAAUAACUUCCUGCACUAUAGGGUUAAUAACAUCCACAGAAAAUACCGAAUGUUCCUCACUAGGAUAUUUCAUGGCAUCAUUCAUAUUGAAUUCUAUAACCUCUCCAUCAAACUCCAUAGUGAGAGUCCCUUUAUGUACAUCCAUUUUAGUCCUAGCAGUCUUAAGAAAAGGUCUUCCUAGCAAAAUUGAGACAAAAUUAGAGGAGUUAUCCUCUUCCAUAUCAAGUACAUAAAAGUCAGCAGGAAAAACCAACUCAUUAACUUGUACUAAGACAUCUUCUAAUACCCCAUCAGGAUAUGCAUUAGACCUAUCAGCUAGUUGAAUUAUCACACCAGUUUCUUUUAAUGGACCAACAUUCAAAGAUGAAUAAAUGGAACGAAGCAUGACAUUAAUAGAAGCUCCUAGAUCUAACAAAGCUUUUUCAAUUCUAACACUACCAAUUUUACAAGGGAUAGUAAACAUACCUGGAUCCUUGCACUUAGGAGGUAGUUUCUUUUGGAGAACUGCUGAAACAUUCUCCCCCAUGUGAACUUUUUCAUCUCCUCUUAAUUUUCUCUUAGAGGUGCGCAGUUCCUUAAGGACUUUAGCAUAUCGAGGUAUUUGUUUUAUAGCAUCUAAUAAAGGAAUAUUUACCUCAACCUUGCGAAAUGUCUCAAGGAUGUCUUUCUCUUGUUCCUCCUUCUUGGAUUUUGCAAACCGGCUUGGAAAAGGAGGAGGUAUCACAAUAGGUAGGGGUUUCGCUCUGGUGGGUUGCGCAUCUUGAGAUUUAGGCAUCAAUUCAUUCUUCUCAAGCUCAUCUUCUACAUGCUUUGUCACUUUCUUACUAGGCUCUUGCAACUCAUUCCCACUUCUAAGGAUGACAGCACUAACGUUUUGCUUUGGAUUCACCUCAGAUUGUGAAGGUAACCUCCCUAAUACUUGAGACUCCAGACGGCUCACUGUAGUCGCCAAUUGACUCAUUUGGUUCUCCAAAUUCUGAAUGCUUGUUGUAGUUGCCUGCUGAAAUUGUUGAGUGUUAGUCGCAAGUGAUUUAACAAUUUCUUCAAGAGAUAUAUCUGACUUAGAGUUUGAUUGUGGAGGUGCUAGUUGUCUUGGUGGAUACUGUUGUGAGAAUCCUGACGGCCUAACUCCAUAGCUAAAGUUGGGGUGAUCCUUCCAUCCCGGAUUGUAUGUUUGUGCAUAAGGAUCAUACCUCCUCUGAGGCAUGCCUGGAAAUCCUCCAACUGCAUUGGCUUGUUCAACGGAUUCUUCUUGAAGUGUAGGACACAUAUCAGUUGAAUGACCCAUAUUGUAACAAAUGCCACAAGUCUUCACCUGUUGCACAUUACCUACAACAAACUUUUCCACAAGAGAAGUAAGUUUAUCUAAACGUUGUUCAACAGAAGAAAUAUUUACCUCAUUCACCUUCCUUGAAGUGAGAUCUUGCCUGCUGCCAAAUUGUUGUGCGUUGGCAGCCAUAUUUGAUAUCAGCUCCCUUGCUUGAGUAGGGGUCUUGUUCACCAACACGCCUCCACUAGCAGCAUCUAUCAUACUCCUAUCCAUUAAUGACAGUCCUUCGUAAAAAUAUUGAAUAAGAAGUUGAUCAGAAAUCUGAUGUUGAGGACAGUUGGCACACAAUUGUUUGAAUCGCUCCCAAUACUCAUACAAAGUCUCCCCAGGAAGUUGUCGGAUCCCACAAAUAUCUUUUCUGAUGUUGGCAGCUCUUGAAGCAGGAAAGUACUUCUCGAGGAACUGUCUCUUCAAACCAUUCCACGUUGUAAUCGAUCCAGGAGGCAAGUAGUACAACCAGUCUUUAGCUAGCCCAUCUACAGAGAAUGGAAAAGCACGCAGCUUAAUCUGCUCUUCAGUCACGCCUUGUGGCCUCAUACUUGAACAUACAACAUGAAACUCCUUAAGAUGUUUAUGAGGAUCUUCACCUGCAAAACCAUGAAACUUGGGUAAUAAAUGAAUAAGACCAGACUUUAAUUCAAAAUUUACCUCCAAGUCUACAUAUUGAAUGCAGAAUGGUUGCUGAUUCAAGUCUGGUUCAGCCAACUCUCUAAGAGUUCUUUCUAUAGGUGCAGCUCUAUCCAUCACUUGUUCUUCCGAAUCGCUAGAUGAUUGAACUAAAUCAGGCACCGUAUCUGUUUCAGAAAGCAAAGGUGAUGAGGAUCGUUGCUUAGCUCGCUUCGUCUGUUGUCUCAGCUGGCGAGCUGUCUUCUCAAUUUCAGGAUCAAACGAAAGUGUACCUGUACGAGAAGAACGAACCAUACACCAAGUAAAACGUAAAAAGGAUUAAAUAAAUGACACCAAUCCCCGGCAACGGCGCCAAAAUUUGAUGGUUGUCGAAGCCAACAAAAAUAAAUUCCUACUCUAAAUAAAUUAUGUAUAGUGAUUGAGUAGGGUCGUGUCCACAGAGAUCGGUAAUUAUUUAAAUCCUUUUGAAACGUAAAACGUAAAAUGAGGGAAUUGUUGACAAUAAUAAAAAUCAAAUUAAAAUAACAAGAAUGCAAAUUAAAGUUGUAAUUCAAAUUAGAGAAAGCUCUGGUUGAAGGAAUUAACUCAGCUUGAUUCGACUACUGAUCAUUGAUUCAAAUAUAGAUUGUUAUUACUUAUGAAUAGACCGGUUAUAGCUACUGAGACCCUCUAAUAGCCAAUCUCUCCUUAACUAGUCGAUAACCAAGGUACGACCGUUGGUUAUUUCCCUAAUCAAUAGACAACCCUAGAUACGAUCAUAUGAUUUAAUCAAUUGACAGCCUGAAAAACCAGAGAGACCCAAAUCCUAAUCAACACAUGAUGAUUCAUUUAAAUUAGAUUGUUUAUUCUCACAACACAACUCUCUGCUAUGUUAUUUGUCACAAACAUUAAAUUCUUCAUACGAUGAAUCCUUUAAUUAACAAUAGAUUAAGUUGAUAAUUAAAUAGUGGCCAAUUACCUAAUUAACAAACAUAAUCAUGAAAAUAAUUCAGAGAAUAAACAAAUACCCAAAAAGCAAUAAAACAAUUAAAGCACAAGAAAGAUCUCACAGUAGUGAUGAAUCAAAGCUGCAUUAACCUUCAACCAGAAAAAUAGGUUUAGUUUUUCAUAGAGAGAAGAGAAAAGUUUAGAUCUAGAGUUUCUUUCUUUUCUCUCAUCCCCCUUUUUCACAAUAGAUUCCUCUCUUAAAUACUCUCUCUCUCUUCUCCUUUAGAAUUCUAUUUAAAAUAAAAUACUAAUAUCUGAAAUAUUAAAUUCGUAAUUACAAAAAUAACCAAAAAUACAAAACACGUUAAACUAAAAACUGCAGGUCCGUAGUUGACAGCACGCGCCCACGCCUUAUCAACAAAGUUCUUCUGACGCUCAUAAUUUCUCCAAGAGAACAAUCAUCUUUAAACAUCAUCUUAUAGCUCAAUUUUAUCACAAAUCAAUAGAAUUGCACCUACAAAAGUAAAACACAAGUAAAUCAUUAUUAUUAAGUGCAAAACAUCGAUAUUAAGGGAAGUAAACAAUGCAAAACUAGUGCAUAAAUUGCACUCUAACAGUUUCUCUCCCAUUAAUAUAUGAAUUCUUCCUCAUAAUUCUAUUAAAACUUCAAGUGUGAAGUCAAGUGAUGAAGAAUCAAUUUCAAAAAUUCAAAAGUAGUUAUAAUGAUGAUGCUAUUAUUAGAUCAAUGAAUGAAGCAUAUCAUUCCAUGUAUUUUAAAUGGGUAAGAAUAGGUAAAAGAUCAAGAAACACAAGCUCAGUUAUUAGAUAUUUUAAUUGAAAAGUUGAGUUACAAAGUGAUGCAAUUAAUCGCCAAAACUUUGUUCUUGGAAAAGAAGAAAAGUUUCGAUUGAGUUGCAAAGUACUCAUAAAUCUUUGAGAAUAAUGAAUUUUAGAACAAAGCUAUUUGAUCAAAUUUUGACCAUGGGAAAAGCUAGUUCAGAUUAUCAUGUUUUAUAUAUCAAAAUGGAAUUACUUCAUGCUCAAACAUUGUCUUGGUCAAAACCUUACCACUGAAGACAAUAUUACCAUAACCGACAAGAAAACUCCUUAAUACGUUGAAAGGCAAAUCUGUGUCACAUUUUGCGUCAAGUUUACGUGGUAAGUAAGAAAGGUUUAUUCCUACUUUUUACUUGUGUCAUAUUAAAGGAUAUAUUAUUCCUAUAUGCUUUAAGUUCAUGAAUUAUAUAAAGAAAGUUAUGUCAUCGAAUGUUUCUUCUUAGGGUAAAUCUAAAUAUACUCCUAAAACUAAAUAUUACUAGACUAACCUAGAUUAGGAAAUUUAAAUUAAAAGCAUAUGUGUCAUUUACAUCUUUGCGAGGUUGUAUUACUAAUUUCUUAUAUUUUGAUAGUGAUUGUUCUAGACGCAUGAUUAGUGAUCGUAGUGCACUAAUAAAUUAUAAAGAAUGUGGUCGAGAAUAUGUAACAUUUACUGAUGGUAUUAAAAGGAGAUAGGUUGGAAAAGGGACUUUAAAUGUUGAAGGCUUUUCUUUACUUGAAAACGUUUUGCAUAUUGAAUAUUUGAAAGCUAAACUUUUGAGUAUUAGUCAAAUUUGUGAUCAAAUUAAAUUUUGAUAGCAAUAAACUUCAAGUAUUUAAUAACAAGAGUAACAAUAUACUUGAGGGAACUAGAUAAUCUAAUCAUUGUUAUAAAUUGAUUCAAUCUAUAGCUUAGCAUAAAGAUUGUAUUGAUGAGACUGAAAUAUUACACUAAAAUCUUGGUCAUUUGAAUUACAAGUUAUUGACUAACUUGUGAACAACCUGGCGUUUGUGAUUCUUGUCAAUUCGGCAAACAAUAAAGAACAUCUCACAAAAUUGUACAACAUAUCACACAUCUAAGGUACUUGAUUUACUCCAUAUGAAUCUAAUUGACUAAUUAGAUCUAUAGAUGAUUUUUUAAGAUAUACAUUAGUUGAUUUUAUUAGAGAAAAAUUUGAUACUUUUGAUGUGUUUAAAAGGGCAAUUAUCCAUCGAUCACCUAUUUGUUCACACUUUUUCAAAAAUGCACAAUUCUUAACUUUUUUUUGAAAAACUCCACUCGAAAUUAUAUUAUUUUGCACAUGUUCACUUUCGUCUUCAAACUGUUAAGAGAACUAACAGAAUAUUGUGUAAAUGACUUUUUUACCCCCAAAUGUAAAAGGACAACUAUCCACCAACUACCUUUUUUCGCAUUUUUUUGACAAAUACACAAUUCUUAAUUUUUUUUUCUGAACUCCACUUGAACUUAUAUUAUUUUGCACCUGUCCACUUCUGUCUUCAAACAAUGUCGUUGUGAAAUGACAAUUUUACCCUUAUAAUGUCAGCAAAAUUCUAACAGUAUUAUAACCGAAGUAGACAAAUGAAAAAAAUGUUAACUUCAGGUGGAGCGCUGCCAAAAAAAAAAUUGCGUAUUUUUACAAAAGCUAGAAACAACAGGUGGUCGGUGGAUAAUUACUGAUUAACACUGAAAAGUGUACAUUUUAUAAGGAUAAAAUUAUUAGUUUUUCACUUAUUGUGUCGAUUAAUGCGCUCUUUAUUUCUAAAUUAUCUUAAUACUCCCCAAAUAUAUUUCUAUGUUAAAUUAAUUCACAAUAUGUUAAUUUUUAUCUUGUAAAUAUUUUUCAGGAAUAAAGAUGAAAUUGGAAUUAAAAGCGGAAACAAAGAAGGAUUGCUGGAGCAAUUUGGAAUGCAUCAUUAAGGAGAUAUAGUAAAUAAUAAUAAAUAAAUAAAAUAUAUGUAUAUAUAAUAUAAAAAUAAAAUAAAAUAUUAAUAUUAAUAAAAGAAAAGAAAAGAAAAGAAGAUGCUUCCCUUGCCUAUAAAAGGAAAGGGGAUGCAAGCGGGGGAGGAGGAGUUGAGCCGAGCUGAGAGAGAGAGUGAUAGCCAAGAGUUUAGCUGAAGAAUUUCCUUCUUUCUUUCUUUUCUUUUCUUGUUUCUGUAUGUAUUAAUUCUUCUUGUAACAUAUUUCAAAAGUUUAUCAAAUAAAAAGAGUGUUGUGUUUUCUUUCAAAAUGAGUGACUAAUUUUAUUAAGCUGAGGUGAAGGGUGAAGCUCAAAGUUUCAAACUAUUAAAUUUAUUACUUUCUCAAAGUGAGUUUUUAAGUUUAUUUUAUUCUUUUCUGGUUAUUUUCAUGUCAUGUUAAUUUAUAGAUUCUCUUGGAUCUAUAUGGUAUUUUGAUAUAAUAUCGACACAUUAAUACAGUUAUGGCACAUUAGGUACUUUAUUCUAUAUUUAUCCACACACAUAGAAUUAAAUGAUAUAAAAAUUAACUAGUAAAAGUGAGGUAAAAUCUAAAAAAUAGAGAAUAUUAAAAUUAUAGUUUGAAGAAAUGAGAGUGGAUCCCAUAACCUUAGUAUAUUUUUAAAUUGUUUUCUAGUGAUUGCUUUUCCCAUAAUUAAUUUUCUUUGUUUUAAAUUGACCACUAGAUUUUUAAAUUCCCGACCCCGGACUCACCGGGUUAUAGUUUAACUAGACACUCUUAUACUUGGGAGUAAUACACUUUUAAAUCGUGUCAAGUUUUUAGCAUCGUUGUCAAUGAGUUUUCUAAAUUUGGUAUUAAUUUAUCUUUAUUUUACUUUAUUUUUAUUUUAUUUUAUUUUUUUUGUCAUUACUAUCUUUCUGUGAUUCUAUUUUAUUUUCUUUUUGAAAAACUUCAGUUAACACCCCUCAUCUCUUCAAACUUUAACAUUAUCCAUAAAAUUUGUGAGAAACUUCAUUUAAGCCCAGAAAAUUUUACAAAUCAGUCCUCAAACCAACUUUUUUUUCUUUAAAUUUCUGCAAUUUACUUUUCGCACUUAUUUUAAAUGGUCGGUUCAACCGCCUGAAUUGUUAUUUAAAUUUUGUUUAUAUGGUCGGUUCUACCGCAUAUCAUUUUAAUGUCAGUUUAUUUAUUCAUGUACAUUAAUUUAUUUAAUUUUUAUGCUUUAUUAUAUGGUUGGUUUUAAAAUACCGCCUAAACUGUUUAUUUUAAUUUCUUUGUUUAUGGCUGGUUUUAAAAUAUUGCCUAAUUUUUUGUUAAUUGUUUCCUUUAAUUACUUGCUUUUAUGGCUAGUUUAACCACCUAAUUUAUUUUUUAUUUAUUUUCAGUUUGUUUAUUUUUAUUUCGCAUUUUUGCUUAUUUAAUUUUAGUUUAUUUUCUGCAAUUUUCAUUUAUCGUUUUAUGCAUCAUUGGUUUUGCACACAUCAUUAGCAUUGCGUACGUUGUUGGUCUCGUACAAAUAGUGGCAAAUUAAUUAGGAGAUCACCUUCACAACCCUUAGAUAUGGCUGACAUAGGAGCUGGAAAUUUUUCAGAGCACGAAAAUGACCAAGGCUUACAAAAUCUUCAUGAACAGCCUAUGACCCUUAGAGACUUCAUGCAUCCUACUAGAACAAGGUCACCAUCAUGCAUAGUUUUUCCACCUGAUGCAUCACGUUUUAAUUUCAAAUCUGAUAUCAUUCAACUUCUUCCAACUUUUCAUGGUUUUGAGUAUGAAAAUCCAUAUUUGCAUUUAAGAGAAUUUGAGGAAGUCUGUAACACAUGUACUGAUCAAAAUUGUAGAAUAAAUAUAAUCAGGCUUAAGUUUUUCCCUUUCUCACUAAAGGAUAAAGCUACAACUUAGCUACAAAAUCUUAGGUCGGGAUCUAUCAGAACAUGGGAUGAAAUGCAAGCACAAUUUUUGAAAAAAUUCUUCUCACCCCAUAGAACAAAUUCUUUCAAAAGACAAAUCACAACCUUCAUUCAAAAACUAGGAGAAACCUUCUACCAAAGUUGGGAUAGGUUUAAAGAACUACUUAGCAUUUGCCCACACCACGGUUUUGAAACAUGGAGAUUAGUGUCUUAUUUCUACGAGGGAUCAACAUCCCAAGGUAGACAAGUCGUUGAAAUGAUGUGUAAUGGUGAGUUUAGGGAUAAAAGUCCUGAAGAUGCAUUAGAUUAUCUUGACUAUAUAUCAGAAAAUGCAUAACACUAGGAUACAGUUUGUUCUUAUGAGUCAUCAAGUAAACCUUAGUCAUCUCCAUCUGGUGGAGGCAUGCAUAACCUUAGGGAAGACCAUGAUUUUCAAGCCAAAUGUGCAUAUUUAACUAGAAAAGUCGAAGCAUUAAAGUCGAAAAAGAAUGAUCAUAUAAAGUCUAUUUAAAAUAUUUCAUGUUAUGUUUGUGAUUCUACUGACCAUUCUACGCAGGAUUGUCCAACUUUGCCAGCUCUGAGAGAAAGUUUGCAUGAACAAGUAAAUGUCAUUGACAAUUUCAAAAGGCCAAAUCUCAAUCCAUACUCCCAAACUUACAACCCUAGUUGGAGAAACCACCCAAAUUUCAGUUGGAGAAAUGAUAACCAUGCACAACCUUCACAACCAGUUCCUCCACGUCAAAUUUUCCAAAACCCCCAGAGUUACCCACCAUAUGUUCCACCACCAAGAAAAAACUCUGGAAGACACAUUGCAUUUGUUUAUUGAAAAACAAGAGUCGAUCAAUAACCAAACGAUGCAAACCUUAACCAAUUUGACAGAAACUAUCUCCAAACUUACAUCUGCUCUGACCAUGCAUGAAAAAGGAAAGUUUCUUGCCCAACCUAAACCAAACCCCAAAAGUCAACAACAUCCUCAAAUGGGAAAUUUAGGAAACUAAAAUAUGAGCAAGUCCAAUCGGUUAUAACCCUUCGUGGUGGUAAAGUUGUCGAAAAAUAUAUCUUGGACCUUGUAAAACUAGUAAAGAUUCAAUUUCAAAGAAUAUAGAAGAGUCUGUCGAACUUUUAAACCAUGAAGAAAUAACAAACUCUACUUAUGUACCCCCAUUUCCUCAAGCACUAAUCAAGCCAAAAAAAUCAAACCACAGUCCAGAAAUUUAUAAAGUUUUUAAACAAGUAAAGGUCAACAUUCCUCUACUGGAUGCCAUUAAACGAGUGCCUUCUAGUGAUAAAUUUCUGAAAGAUCUGUGCAUGGUGAAAAUGAAACAUAAGGUGCAAAAGAGAGCUUUUCUAGUAGAACAGGUAAGUUCAAUUCUCUCAACCAAUAGUGCUUUAAAAUAGAAGAAUCCUGGCUAUCCAACUAUUUCUUGUAUUAUUGGGGAUCAUAAAAUUGGACAUGCUUUACUUGAUCUUAGUGCCAAUGUUAAUUUGCUUCCUUACUAAUUGUACCAACAACUCAAUCUUGGUGAGUCAAAACCAACUUCUAUCACUCUUUUAUUUGCUCAUAGGUCGAUUAAGGUUCCAAAAGGAAUAAUUGAAGAUGUAUUAGUCCGAGUCGAUAAAUUCAUAUACCCUAUGGAUUUUAUUGUUUUAAAAAUGGAACCAAUUGUUAAUGAAUGCAAACAAAUUCCUGUUAUAUUGGGUCAACCAUUUUUAGCUACUGUUAAUGCUUUGAUUAAUUGCAGGAAUAGAGUAAUGAAUUUAUCUUUCAACAACAUGACAUUGGAACUCAAUGUGUUCGACAUGUAUAAACAACCUUACCACCAAGAAGAUGAUGAUAAUAAAAAUGAGGAGAUUGAUAUCAUCGAGCCAAUAAUUGAGGAACACAUUCAGGAUGAGAAUUUUACAAAUUUUGUGAAAAUUUGUUUUGCUGGUUCUUUUGAAUUAAGUAAGGAAUUAGAUUGUUAUACUGCUAACAUACGCCCUACACUUGAUUCUAUGCAGGUACCUACAGGUGACAAUGACUAAUCGAACUUUGAAGAUACGGUACAACCUGAAGAACCAAACGAAGAGGAAGCAUCAGAGCUCGAAUUAAAUCCCUUACUGGAAGAAUUGAAGUAUGCAUAUCUUGGAGAGCAGCAGACAUAUCCGGUGGUAAUUUCUUCCCAACACACGCAUGAUCAAGAAGGUAAGUUGUUGUCUAUACUAAAAAGGCAUAAAACUGCAUUUGGUUGGACAUUAAAAGACAUAAAAAACAUUAACCAUUCAAUUUGCACAGACCAAAUACACUUAGAGGAAAAUGCCAAAACAACAUGUCAACCACAAAGAAGACUAAAUUCUCAUAUGAAAGAAAUGGUAAGAAUGAGGUCUUUAAACUUCUAGAUGCAGGAAUUAUCUAUUCUUAAGAAUGAGGUCUUUAAACUUCUAGAUGCAGGAAUUAUCUAUUCUAUCUCUGAUAGUAAAUGGAUAAGUCCAACACAAGUAGUACCAAAGAAAUCUGGAAUAACCGUUGUAAAAAAUGAAAAAGGUGAACCAAUCCCAACACGAAUUCCAUCUAGUUGGCGCAUGUGCAUUGAUUACAGAAAAUUAAAUGAUGCCACUAGAAAAGACUAUUUUCCCCUUCCAUUCCUAGACCAAAUUCUCGAGAGAGUAGCUGGACAUCCCUACUACUAUUUUCAUUAUGGCUACUCUGGCUAUUAUCAAAUCCUUAUAGCCUUAGAAGACCAAGAAAAGACCACAUUCAUAUGCCUAUUUGGAACAUUUGCAUUUAGGAGAAUGCCUUUUGGACUUUGUAAUGCUCCUGCAACAUUUCAAAGGUGCAUGCUAAGCAUUUUUAGUGACAUGGUUGAAAAUUGUCGAGAGGUUUUUAUGGCUGAUUUAACUGUAUUUGGUAAUUAUUUUGACACAUUUCUUGAUAAUCUAGAAAGCGUUUUGGAAAGGUGUAAAGAAAAAAGAUUAGUUUUAAAUUGAAAAAAAUGUCAUUUCAUGACCACUUUUGGAAUUGUCUUGGGCCAUGUUGUGUCUUCAAAAGGAAUUGAGGUUGACAAAACCAAAGUUUAAGUCAUUUUAAAAUUACCCUCACCAAAGAUAAUUAGAGAAGUUCGUUCAUUUUUAGGACAUGCAGGAUUUUAUAGGAGGUUUAUAAAAGAUUUUAGUGUCAUAUCUAGACCACUUUGUAACCUCCUAAAAAAAGACACAUUUUGAAAGAAUAACUACUCUUUUGACAUCAGCCCCAAUAAUGCAACCCCCUGAUUGGUCUUUACCUAUUGAGCUAAUGUGUGAUGCUAGUGAUUAUGUUGUUGGUGUUGUUCUGGGACAAAGAAAGGAAGGUAAGCCCUUUGACAUCUAUUAUACAAGUAGAACUUUGAAUAAUGCUCAAAUGAAUUACACUACAACUGAGAAAGAGCUACUUACUGUAAUAUUUGCAUUAGAUAAAUUUCGUUCGUAUUUAAUUGGUUCAUCUACUAUUGUUUAUUUUGAUCAUGCUGUUGUGAGAUAUUUAAUGUCAAAACAGGAUGCUAAACUAAGGUUGAUACGAUGGAUUUUGCUACUUAAAGAAUUUAACUUGACAAUCAAGGACAAAAAGGGCACCGAAAAUGUUGUUGCAUAUAAUCUUUCAAGACUUACAAAUGAGUUUUCAAUUGAAACAACACUCAUCAAUGAUUCUUUCCCUGAUGAAUUUUUAUUUUCUAUAAACAAAAUGCCUUGGUAUGCUAACGUUGUUAAUUAUCUUGCAACAGGUGAAAUGUCAUGUGACUGGAGUUCCCAAGACAAGAAAUUCUUAACAAAAGUGAAAAGUUUUUACUGGGAUGAUCUAUACCUAUUCAAGUACUGCUCUGAUCAAAAUUUUCGAAGAUGCUGACCAGACGAUGAGGUAAGUAGGGUCAUUCAAUUUUUUUCAUUUUGAAGCAUGCGGUGACCAUUUUUCUUUAAAAAAGACAGUUGCAAAAAUAUUGCAGUGUGGAUUUUAUUGGCCUAUAUGAUUUAAAAAUUCACAUGCAUUCUGCAAAUUGUGUAAGAAUUGUCAAAUGGUAUAGUCUAUUUCAAAGCAAAACAUGAUGCCUUUAAACCCUAUCCCUGUCAUUGAAAUAUUUGAUUGUUGGGGAAUUAAUUUUAUGGGCUCUUUUCCAUCAUCAUUUGGAUUUGUAUACAUUUUGGUUGCUGUUGAUUAUGUUUCAAAAUGGAUCGAGGAAAUUCCUUGUCAGCACAAUGAUCACAAGAUUGUGAUCCGCUAUUUAAAAGAAAAUAUUUUGAGUAGAUUUGGAAUAGCUCGAGCCAUUAUUAGUGAUGGAGGUAAGCAUUUUUGCAACAAGUCAUUUGAGUCUUUAAUGAAGAAAUAUGGAAUUUCACAUAAAGUUGCUACCCCUUAUCACCCUCAAACAAGUGGUCAAGUUGAAUUAGCAAAUAGGGAGAUAAAAUAAAUUUUAGAAAAGAAAGUUAACCCAAACUGUAAAGAUUGGUCUCUUCGACCAACUUAUGCACUUUGGGCAUAUCGUACUGCUUUUAAAAUAUCUUUAGGAAUGUCACCCUAUCGGCUUGUUUAUGGAAAAUCUUGCCACUUACCGGUUGAACUUGAACAUAAAUUAUUUUAAGUCAUUAAAUCUUUUAAUUCAAAUCUCGAUGAUGCUGGUAAUGUGUGUAAAUUACAAUUGAAUGAACUUGAGGAAUUAAGGAAUGAUACAUAUGAAAAUUCCAGAAUUAUUAAGGCAAGAACUAAAGUUUUUCAUGAUAAAAGAAUUUUUCAGAAAACAUUUGAAAUUGGUCAAAAAGUGUUGCUUUAUAAUUCCCGUCUCCAUUUGUUUCUAGGGAAGUUAAAGUCAAAGUUGAAUGGUCUAUUUGUUGUAAAAAAUGUGUAUCCAUAUAGAGCCAUAGAAAUUGAAAAUCCAAAGGAUGGUGUCCCAUUUAAAGUUAAUGGUCAAAGAUUGAAACCAUAUCUGGAAUACCAACUACGUGAAGCAGACACCGAAAUUAAUUUGAGUGACUCACCAAAUCUUGAUUAAGCCUUUUUGUUUUAACCUUUUGUGAAUUUGUUUUACUUUUACUUAUCGUUUGAAUUGUUUGAUUUUCUUUUUUCUUUUCCCUAUGUCUUGAAUGAAGUGCAUUAUGUUAUCUCUUGUUUAAAUGUGUUGUUUGACAAUUGUGCUUUAGAUCACCAAAUUUUUAUACUUGUCAUGAGUACCUCCAUGAGAAGUAUCCUUUCCAAACAUCUUAAAGAACUUUUACAUGUGAAAUUUCACCUGAGAAAAUUACUCCGAUUUUGUAAAUCACAUCCUAUUUGGGAUCUACAACCACCAGAGUUAGUAUUUCAUGUUAAAGAUCUAGAAAGACAACUCAAAGAAAUAGAGGAUGAUAUUUAUGAACUGCAAUUAGAACUGGAGAUAAAUUCAAUAAAAGGUUGAAGGGGAGUUAUAUUUCUUGUGUGUUUUUUUUUUAUUUUGUUGUUCUUCUCACCUUUGAUUUGAUUUUGCAGAUUUGAUUCAUUUUGUUUUGAUUCACUCUCCCGUAUAAAUGGCGAAUAAUGGUGUUCCGUGACUUUUUAAGUCGGUAUUCUCAAUUUCCCACAAUAACUGAAACCUCAAAGUCAAGCAUGGAAGAAAUACAAUGAAAAUUGGAUCAACUUUUUCCUUCUCUCUCUCAAAAUGCUCUUAAGAAGAUUUACAAAGCUCAUUGUGAACGACUGCAUUUGUUAAUGAUCAAUGGGAUUUCUGCUGACAUUCGCUGGCUAAUUGAAGCAAAGGUUUGAUUAGCAGAUGAGUUUUCUAAUCCAUUUGUUUCCUACAUGCUUGGUUUUGGUAAAAGUACAUUUGCUAAGAAAAGAAGAGCUAAGCAACUUGGCUCUAAAUGUCCUAACUGUGUAAGACUUACUUGCAACAAACUACGUUGUAAAACUUUAAGAAUGGUUUCUGUAAAUCGUGAAGAUAAAAUCAAAUUCGUUAAGGAUGGCAUGAGUAAAGAAUCGUUGGAUGAUCUCUUAAAACGCAUCCGAGCAAAUAUGUUCAACGUGAAAUUCAUAAUUUAUGAAAGUUUUUCUAAAAGGAGAGUGCACAGUUUAGUCUUGGGAAUCUAACUUUAAAAGACCUUGUUUGCUAAUUUAUAAGAAAACUAGAUAAGAAGCCUAUCCUCGACCCAUUGAGGGUGCUGAAGCAGUUACAGGACGUAAAACCAGAGGAAGAUAUGAGCCACAAUCACAACUACCAGUCAAUAUCUUUUUAUUUUAUCUUUUUCAUUUUAUUAUUAUUUUUGUUUUUUGUGUGUGAUUUUAUAUCUAAUCACUGUUUACUUUUUUUUUCACUGUUUGCCUUUGAAGUAUUAAGCUAAAAGCUUCACGCGUCAUUUGACAAACACACCACCCCAUUUACAGAUGUAUAUCAUUGUGUCCGUCACCAAGAUCCUUAAAUAGGAGCUCCUUUUCAAGCACUCACAAAUUGUUUCUUUUUAGAAUUGUUCUAAUGGCAGCAACUUCAAGCAGACAUCUUAAGAACAUUUUUCGUGCUUUCUGGAUUUCGCCAUGGAAAGUAUAAGGAGUUCGUUCAGGCAACUAUAGAUCUUGAUCGUGCUAUAGCAAAGAGAAAACAACAUCUUGUAUAUGGAAGAGGUGACCGAAGGUUAUCAAAGCUUGUCUCUAAAGCUGCUUUCAUUCGAGGAAGCCAAGUGCUAGGCAUUAUUCUAAAAGCCUUAAAACCUUUAGGAUGUCUACUAGACCCACUAACUAGAGAAUAGUUAGUUAUCUCAAGUAUGCGAGAAAGAAUAUCUGAAAUGUUAAAUCAUACUGACGCUUUCAUUUUCUUGCCAUGAGAUCUUGUAACUUUAGAGGCGCUAAUUACAUUUUCUUCUUAGGCUCAUUUGAAUAUCCAUAAAAAAUCCAUCGGUUUGUUAAAUGUUAAUAACUUUUAUGAUGGCUUAAUAGGAUUUCUUAAUCAUGCAAUUAAAAAUUAUUUCAUUCCACCCUCAACAAAAAAAGCUCUUUAUUUGUGCUCCUACUACUAACGAGUUACUUGAUCUUUUGCAAACUGACAAACCAAAGCCAGAUCCCAUGACUUUGGCAUUGGAUUGGGCAACUGAUGAUGAUGGCAGUAACCAUCGUAAAAAGUGUAAAUUAGAUUUAACUCUCUGUUUAUAAAUAUUUUUCAGCAGUGACCAAGUGAUGUGUUCUAAACUCUACUCCUUUAUUCUAAGACAUUGAGCACAAUGUCUCCCUCAGGUUAGGGGAAGGAAUAGUUGACAAUUGUGGAAUGUCUCAGUCCUAGUAAUGUUUUUACUAAUUUUUGUUGUAAAGACAAACUUUGGAUAAAAAUUUGAGUCGAAGAUGGCAGAAUAUAGAAUAUAGUGUCUUUAGAAACGCAUCUUCUUAAUUUUAAUGUUUUGAUUCUAAAGAAAAAAGUAUAAAAAAAAAUUGUUUUCUAAUUUCUUUCUUGCUUUUUAUCUUUUUUCUCUUAAUCAUCUCCCUUAAGUUUCUGCAAUCAGUCUCAAUUUUUUAGUGUUUUCUUUAACUAAAAAAAAAAAAGAGUUUUCUUUUUCAGUGUGAUCUUUUAACAUUAGAUAGCAUGAUGAUUUUCAAAUUUAGUAUUUGUAUUAUCUUUGGCCUUGAGUUAUGUUAUACUAUGUUUUUCCCUUUGCAUGUUGAAACGUAAAUUGAGAAAUUUGAUGAGUGAAAUUGAUUAAGCCAUUUGGAGGAAUGUACAUGUUAUGAAAAGUCCAAGCGAGUUUUUGAGCCUAUUAUCCUCGGAGAGUAACCUUGUUUGCCUAUACAGCUUCACAAUUUAUUGUACAAGAUCUCUAUAUUUUCUAUAAAAAAAAAAAAGAAGUGAAAAAAAAAGUUUGUGCAACCCUCUUCUCUCUAGCCUUUGAUUUUUUGAUAGAGACCGAUCCGCUUUUGUUGGCAAGUUCGGAAGAAGGCUUUGAGGGGUGGGCCUUUCGUACUCAAAUCCGUACGAGGAAAAUUAUUCAGCGCACUAAAAUCUAGUGGAUGGGGUUCAAUAUUCAUGAAAAGCCAGGUUUGAAAUGAUCCAUGUUACGGAACCAAGACAACCUAUCUUACUAAUAAAAGGGUUAAGGGCCUCCAACGCCUAUAAAUAGAAGCUUUUUUCAGUCUCUAUUUGGCAAAGGUCGCCUGGGUUUUUUUAUUGCAUGAAAAAAAGAGGAAGCAUAGACAAGAGCAAGAGCAUCUAAAAGUUCAUUGAACUAGUGGAUAUGAAAGAUUAUUUAGAGCCCUAAAAAAUGACAGAAGGUCAUCUUUGAUCCGUUUGAGCCUUUCUAGCUAACCCUAUUAUAAAGUAUCCAUAGUUAAACCCUUUGAGCCUUUAAAAAAAAAAUUCUUUGAUAAUCUAUCAUCUUGUCCCACUUCAAUGUGGAGUAUCACCUUAUGUUUUAUGUUUUCCACCAUCCAAUUAUGUUUGAAAAUAGGGAUGAUUAUGUAUUCCUGAUAAUGGUGUUAUGAAAAAAAAAACAAAUAUAUGUAUAUAAAUAAAUAAAUAAAUAAAAUAAAAAAAUUUCCAAGCGAAAAAAAAAAGCUUGUAAUCUCCAAAAAGUCCCUUAUUUUUCAAACAUAUAUUUUUGUUUUUUCUAUUAUCCUUUUUUUGUUAGCCAUAACCCUAGCCUACGUUACGUCCUAAUAAAAGUCCUUCUCGAUUUUAGGGAACUAUAGUCUAAAGUAAAAGCUGGUGAUAUGGACUAAAAGAUGUGGUAAUGCAUAAAAAUAAAAAUAAAUUAGUUUGGCUAAUAAUUCCCCUGAGUUGAGAUAAUUUUAUUUCUAAGUUGUGGGCGUUAUUCUUUCAUUUUGGUGAGAGCAUGUGACAUUGUUUUGCUAUUUUCUCAAUCUACCACUUUAUAGAGUGACAGUUUUUCUGGGGUAUACUUUCUUUUGAGAGAGUCACUCUUAACCAUGAGGUUUGGGGGUUUGACGUAUCAUUCUUAAAAGUGGUUUGAUUAAUGCUGCUUUGAUAAUUGAUCAUUUUACAUGAUUUUACUUAACUGAUUUAUGUGGGUGUGACUUUCUUUAGGCUGAAGAUAAUGCUUAUACUUUUAUUUGAUUGUUGUCACUAAUCCAAUGAAAGAAGUAAACACAAUUUUCACAAUUUAAAAAAAAAAGAUUUUCAAUUUGGUUUUGAAAUUUCUCUAAAUUUUUAUUGCUUAAAUUGCUAGGGCCUAGCAAUAAGCUGAUUGGGGGGUGUGAUUGACACUAAAAAGUGUACAUUUAAUAAGGAUAAAAUUAUUAAUUUUUCAUUUAUUGUGUCGAUUAAUGCGCUCUUUAUUUCUAAAUUAUCUUCGUGUUACUUUUGUUUAUUGCAAGAAAAUUUCACAUAUGUCAAACUUUUUUUAAUAUCAUAGACCGUUGUUUGAAGAAACUUGAAGAUAACACUUUUCUUUUAAAAAAUCAAUAGUUUUUAUCUUGGUUUCAUGUUUUGGCACCUUUUGUCAAAAAGGGGUAAGAAUAACGUAAACUAUCAAUUUGCAUUGUUGGGAAAUUAGAGUACUCAUUGCUUCGUGAUAGGUAAAGUAGUUUUUUAUUCGAGAGAGUAGUUCUUCAUUUUAUUUAAAUUCAAUUUAAAUUUGAAUUCAAUGAUAAAGGGAGUUUAAUUAUAUGUUCAUUGAGUUUAUCUAUUCUUUCUCUGAGGAGGAUCUUACUUGAUUUACAUAUGAUAUUUUGUUUGAUAUGCAUUAUUACUCUCUUACUAUAUUGGUAUGAGAUUGUUUAUGUUAGUGGGAGAGUUAAUUUUCUCAAGCGAACUUUAAACAUAAGCACUUAUUCAUUAUAGGAGACUUUGAUAUUGAACUAACGGUUACUAAUGAUUUUUGUUUUGAUUAAUUCUUUGUUUAGUUUGCUACCUAUGUGUAGGUUAUUGCUCGUGGUCUAUCUUACUUCGACACACGCCAUUUGAAGAUUAGAAAAUUGAUUAGCUAAUGUUUUGACUACAAGGAUGCAAAAAGGAGGCUAUCGUUAGGGUUUUUAUUAUUGGCAUCAUUUUGUCAAUAAUAUUGUAAUUUAUCUAUUUCUUAUAUUAAGGAUUUGUCUAGUCUUAGGUAUUUAUUAGACUGGAUUAUGUGGAAUAUUGGAGAAUAAUUUUGGAGACAUAAAGAAGCAAGUUAGUGUUUACAUGAGUAUUACAUGUCAAAGAGUUCCAAAUUAAGGUGACUACAACAUAUAUAAGCAUAUCAAGUAUUUAUGGAAUAUUAGACUCUUAAGGAAGUAUAUCAUAGUACUCGUCUACUAGGGUCUAAUUGAAAUAUUACACUUAUAUAAAAAGAAGUAUUUCACAUAUUAAGGACUGAAGAAGACACAUUGUACUUUAUAUCAAAAAAGUAGCCAACGUAGAGAAUAACAAGAAACCUUAUGUGGCCACAUAUGAUGUUUCAUACACUCAUGGAGUUUUUAUCUUUUUGUCUUCUUCAUAUCAAGUCUUUCAUUAGACAUCUUUGAUGAUUACUUUGAUCUCUUCUAGACAAAGAUGUUGUUUGUCGUGUUAAAAGAAUCUCAAGGAAGCAACAAACACAAUUAAAGAUGAAUGAUGCCUGCAAAAAUAAGAGGAAGUUCGAAAUUAUGUAAAAUUACAACAGAUUGUAAUCUUUUCAUUACUUAAUGAGUUGCUUAAUGUAUAGGUGUGGCCUCAUGGAUAUAGGAUUGUGAUCUGAAUCAUGAAAAAAUGUUCUUUGUGCUUUACUUUUUGUAAUUUACUAUUUUUAGCAUAUUUGAUAGAUUUAGGUGAAUGAACUAUAAACAUCAGUAUAAAUAAUAAUGAUGAUUUGUUUAUGUGAACAAGCACUCACAUAGAAUAUCAUAUAAAGAAUAUUGUGAACAGUACUCGCAUACAAUAUCAUAUGAAUAGUAUAUAUGAGCAAUGACUUCAAAAUUAAUUAAUUAGCAUAAUUAAUUUUCUAUGGUUUAAUUUACUAUAAUUGUUAAAAUAGAUCUAAAUUCUUAACAAUAAGAAUUAUAAUUUAAAUAUAUUUAAAUUAUAAUUCAUUUAAAUAUAUUUAAAGUGAUUUCAGAAUUAAUUAAUUACCAUAAUUCAUUUUUUUUCAAAUAAGUAUGGGGGGGGGGGGGGGGGUUCUAUUAUACCCAGAUGGGUAAAUGAUCCAACUACCACCCUUCUCUUUUUUUGAGGAGUUCAAAAAUACUGUGAUGGCUCUGUUCCUUUAUAUAUUUAUUUUGUUUAUGACUCAAGAAUCCUGAAGUUUCUUUUUUCUAAUCUUCUUUUUUUAUUUUUGUGAUCUAAAUUCAUAUUAAUAACAAUUAGAAUUCAUUUGAGUAUAUAAAUAUAUUUUCUUAACUAAUUAUGUUUAUCUAAUAUUCAUUUUUUCUCAAAAAUAAAGGGACAGAUAAAGUCUAAAUAAUUUUUAAUUUGUACCUCUGCAGAAUUUAAACUUGGGUGAUCAAUAUUUUAUCAUAUCAAUAUCUAUUUGAAAACCAGCCGGCUAGACCCUGAGGCUAAUAGAUCCCCUGUUAAUCAUUAAAUAUAUGUGAACAUUUGUACUUCCUUGCUAUCCUAUUUGAUUACAAAAUGGGCUUAAUUGCGGUAUGAAUUCAUAUUUUUUAAAUCAAUAUUAUUUUUUAAUUGUCAUUCUCAAUGAAAUUAAUAUUAACAAUAUCUUGAGUGAGAUGGUUAUGCCUAUCUUUAAUUUUGAGGAAGUAAGAAGAAGAUGAGAUAGAAAGAUAAAAUAGCACAAGAUGAAGAUGCUUACAUGUGAGAAGAGAAAAUAUUUUGAGAUGUAACAUAAGAGAAUAUAAUGUUGGAGAAAGUAAGAAUAAAUAAAAGAGAGAAAAGAAAUUAUAUAAGAAUUAUUGAUUCCUCUUAUCUAAUUUUUACGAGUCAUUAUUCUAUAUACUCUAAAAGUCUAAACAUUAUAUUUAUAUAUUUAAAAAGUUGUAUUAUUGAAUUGGGGCCAAGAUUACAUUACCCCACGGUAACCGGUACUCUACCCCGGGUUUAGUAUUGUAGUAAGAGUGUUGUUAAAUUUGAGCUUAAUGUAUCUGAAGCUAUAAAAUAGACAUACGACUUAUAUGUGUACCUGCAUUGUAACUAGGUUCUGAGUUAAAAUACAAAAUGUAAUUGGAGCAACUUGGUUAGAGUUUACUUUAUAUGUUAGUUUUAUCUCAAUGUCAUUAUUGCUUAACUCAUCAACUCCACUCACCUUAUCACCCAAACGUACUUAAAUUUUACAUUUCACCUUAAACUCCAUCUGUCAUUUCGCACUUUUCGUUUCCUCUCCUUCUCAUCAAGACCUUAUCACUAUUUACCAAAAGCUUAGUGCCUAAACUUGAUUAUGAUAGUUUAUAAAAUCUUGAAUGGCAAAAUACCCAAAACUGAAUGACUUGGUUUUCAAGCUCAAAGCUCACCAUGUUUUAAAAAUCAUCAAUACUCAUUAAAAUACAAAAAUGGCUUUGUAGCUUUUUUUUUGUUACAAAUAUUAUAUCAACUAUAUUUUUUCGAUGUUGAAUAAACUUUUUCGUCAUUGUAACUUUCAUUCUCCGAAUCAUGUGAGGAUUUUGAUGAUUAAGCUUAUAGAGAUAAGGAGGAAUUAAGGUUAUUUAAAACCUAACAAUCUUCGCAGUAAUAAGUAGAAAAGUUAGCUUUUUACACAAAGUUUCUAAUAAUUUUAAGAUGAUUGCAUCUAAUUGUUGUUACACUAAAAGACAAAAGAUACGGUACGUAAUCCUAGAGUGGAAUCAAGAAUCUCUCUUGAUUUAAUCAUAGACAGAGCAAAUAACUUUAUUACUGAUUAGUAGUUAAUAAAAAAAAGUUAAAUCUUACCACUACACUCUUAGUAAAUUACAUAUAGUAUAAAAUCUUUAAAAGCUCAAUAGAGCUAAAAUCAGGAGAUGGUUCUAUUCCCUUGAAAUAACGUAGUUGAAUCCUUGAACUUGCCCCCAUAGUGUAAUACUAUUCUUCAUAAUUAAUUAAUUCUUCCUCUAAGAGAGGUCAAAUUAAAUCUAAUUCAAUUGAAUCAUUUAUUGCAAAAUUACAAACUCCCCAAUUUUGAAAAAAUAUCUUAAGUUGGCGAAAUCCUAUUAAAUCUUAAUACUUUCUCUAAAAAUAUAACAAAAGUUAAUACUCCUAUGAAGAGAUUAAAAAUUUGCCUUUUAAAGAAUUAUGAAAAAAUACCAAUGAGCAAAUUAACAUGUUAUGUACUGGUGGUAAAAGAAAUUAAAAAAAUUAAAAAAGAAGAGUUACAUGUAUAACGGUGCAUAAAAUUUUAAAAUAAUAUAAAAUUUGAACUCGAAUUUUUUUGUUCUUCCUGCAAUAGCAGAACACGUUUUAAAAGGUUAUUAUGUUUUUAUUAUUACUAUACCUGUGAAGAAUGACCGUUGUGUCUCUCACAUGUUGCAACGUGUAGAUUAUUGAUAGCUAAAAAUAUUAUAAAGCUUUUGUAUCUCAUUUCGAAACGUCUCUUCGAUCUUGCAUUAACAACAAAUAAUAAUGAUACAGCUAGCAUCCCAUAUCCAGCCAAGCUAGCCUUGCCUUAUAUUUCUCUUCAGCGUUUUGCAUGCUCUAUUCUCAACGACAACUCAUCAUCACCUCCCUUUAUAAAUCCCUCACCACUCACCACCACCACAUCUCAAUUCCCCUUAUCUUGAUUUUCUAAAAGCAAUUUGUGUUACAAUAAUGGAGUUGAAGAGAAAUUUCACUAAUUGCUUCUUUGUGAUUUUGUGGAUGGGUACUUUUAUUAUUAGCUCGUGUGAGGCCUACAAGUUCAAUGUUGGUGGUAAAAAUGGAUUAUGGGUUGUGAAACCAUCUGAGAAUUACAAUCACUGGGCUGAGAGAAUGCGGUUUCAAGUUAACGAUACUCUUUGUAAGCAAGCCCCAGCUCUCUCUCUUAUAUAUAAUUCAUUUUCUUUGUAUAUUAUUAAUAUUAUACCCUGCCCCGUAGCUUGAAUGGUCAUGAGUAUGCAUUUGUGGCUGCGCUCACUCGCAUUCUUGUUUACUGUGGAUAAGAAUAUUGUAAAUAUGUUAUAAAAUAGUAAUAUUAAUUCUUUGCAGAUUUUAAGUACAAGAAAGGAUCGGACUCGGUGUUGGUGGUAACGAAGGACAAUUAUUUUUCAUGCAACAACAAGAAACCGGUACAAUCUUUAACUGACGGCGAGUCAGUUUUCAGUUUUGAUCACUCAGGUGCUUAUUUUUUCAUCAGCGGCAAUGCUGAUAACUGCAACAAAGGCCAAAAGCUCAUGGUUGUAGUUAUGGCUGUGAGAAACAAAUCCCAACACCAUGAAGCUCCUCCGUCUCCUUGUCCGGUUUCUUGUACGCCGCCUGCUUCUUCUCCACAGCCGUCUGCAUCUUCUCCCCCGACAUCACCUGCAUCUCCUCGUUCUUCGGUACCACCUCCAGUAGAGUCGCCAAGGAGCUCACCAAGUCCUAUGCAGCCACCGGAGCCUAGUGAUAUUCCAUCAGAUUUCGGUGCUCCAGCACCGGCUCCGACAAGUUCGGGUUCAUCGGGUUUGGGUUGUAAUAUUGGCUUGGUUUUGGGAUUUAGUGUUGGAGUGACUCUGGUUUUGGGUAGCUUUAUUGGCUAGACCUAGUAUCUUCUGUUUAGACUUUGGAUUAAUAUGUUGAGGGUUUGAGUAAUUACAUUAUUUUGUUCUUUUCAAGGAUUAUAUAAUUUGAAGUAAAGUUCUUUUCUUUAGCUACAAUAUAACCAAAUGGGUAAAAACUCAUUUAGUCCCUAUAUUUUAAGAUUAGUGAUCAUUUAGUCCCUACAUUUUUAAAAAUACCUCGAAACAUCCCUGUCGUUAAAUUAUUAAUACUCCUACCGUUACUUUUUAUUUCUUUUGGCUUACUUUUACAAUAUUAAACUUUUAUAAGAAUUUUUUUUAACAUUAAUAAAAAGAAAAUAAUUAAAUUACCAACUUAAUCCGAAAAAAUAAAAAAAAAAUUUAUAUUAAUUUUUAGUUGUCAAAAAUUGUAUGCAAACUACCAAGUGUGCAAAUGGUGCUUGCAAAAAAAUUAAUAUAAUUUUUUUUAUUUUUUAGGGUUAAAUUGGUAAUUUAAUUAUUUUCUUUUUAUUAAUGCCCAAACAAAAAAAAUAUUAUAAAAGGGUAAUAUUAUAAAAGUAAGCCAAAAGAAAUAAAAAGUAACGGUAGAGGUAUCAAUGCUUUAACGGCAUAGAUGUUUCGAGGUAUUUUUAAAAAUAUAAUGACUAAAUAGACACUAAUCUUAAAAUAAAGGGACUAAAUAAACUUCGACCCUAACCAAAUUUCAUGUGGCUACAAUAUUUACCAUGUGCCUUCUCUCUUUGACAUUCUAAUUAAUCGUCUAAUCAUAUUAAUUAACAAAACGGUAUUUGAUUUGGUAUACUUGUUUUUUCAUUUUUUGUCUCCAUAAUUUAGUUAAAAAAAUGUGCUUGAUUAUAAGUAAAGUGAAAAGAAAUUAUUUUAGAUAAAGUGUAUUUGAUUUUAGGUAUAUUGUUUUUAAUUAUAAAAUAAAAAAUGUCGCAUGAAACAAAAAAGUGAUAUUAUUUCAAUUUGCAAAAAUGUUUACGAUCUUUUGUGGCAAGCACAAAAAUGUUAUUAUGUUUUUUGGCAUUCUCCCCAAAUGCCAUUAAUAAAACGAAAAUGACAUUCAUACAACAGUUAGUACAUUAUUUAGCAUCGAACGGUGCGUUUCAAACUAACGAUAAAUAAGUCACUGUAGCUUCAAAAUGGCACACGCACAGUCAACACACACGCGCUUUCCCGCUCUGUCUCUCUCCCUCAAAGCACAGUUCUGCUCUCUCGCCCUCUUCCUCACCGCACAGCCCUGCUCUAAUGCUGCUCUCUCCCUCACACGACACAUCUGCUCUCUCGCUUUCUCCCUCACGCCACAAAUCUGCUCUUUCGCUCUCUCCCUCAUGCUCCAUUCACCAAUAUGACCAGCCAUUGUUCACCGCGCUCCGGUCUCACUGUCGGUCAUAUACACCAUCAAUGAAUGGAUUAAAAUUAAUAGAUUGAAGUUAAUUAUAAUAAGUGGACAGUUUUUUCAUGAAUUAAAGCUAUCAGUACAAAGCUUACGGAGGGAGAGAGCGAGAGAGUUUAUGCGUUUGUCAACAGCAUGUGUGUUUUACCAUUUUGAAGCUACAGUACCAAUUUAUAUUUACUUCAAAACUCACCGUUCGAUGCUAAAUGGUGUGCUAAGUGUUGUGUGCAUAUCGCUAUUGGUUGUCAAAGGGCAAGUACCUCAGCUUGCUUAAUAUAUUUCUGGUGUUAAGAAUAAUAAGAUUAGGCAAAUAAAAACCUUAGAAAAUUAAUAAUCCUAAUUAAUUAAUAAUGAAAUUAUUGUUCAUAUAUUAUUGUUUAUGUGAUAUUGUUUGUGAUUCAAUAUUCACAUUCAUUGUUCAUAUAAUGGCAUAAAUGAGUCACUACUGUUCACAAUUACUAUUUUUAUGAUACUGUAUAAGAGUUACUACUUAUUGUCAUUAUUCAUAGCACUGUUCAUAUUAUUGGUCACUCACCCUAGAUCCAUCAAAUAUGAUACAAAUAGUAAAUUAUAUAAAGUAAAGCACGCAUAGAAUUUUUACGUGGUUUGGAUCUCACUCCCACAUCUAGAAGGGCCAAGGCCACAAUCCACUAAGUGAUGAAACAAUUGCACCCUAUUGGAAUCUUACACAAUUUUAGACUCUCUCUAACUCUUGCCACCAUGUUAAAUCUAACUCAAUUGACCUUGCGUAGUGAGCAACACUCGUCUUCAAUUAUGUUUGCUACUACCUUGAAAUCCCUUCAACACAACAAACGACUCUUUCAUCUUGACGAAACAAAAGUAAUCAUAUAGAAUGUCUAAUGAAAGACUUGAUGUGAAGAAAACUUGAAGACUAAAUAAGUUUUCUACUUGUUCUUUACAUUGGCUACUUCUCUGAUAUAAAAUACAAUAUGUCUGCUUCAUUCUUCAAUGUGUGGUAUACUUCCUUUUAUAUAGGUGUAAUGUUUCCCGAAACACCAGUAGAGGAGUAUGAGGAUAUACUUUCUUAAAAGUUCAAUAUUUCAUAAAUACUUACCCAUUUAGAAAUCACCUUUAUGUGAAGCUCUUUGAUAUGUAAUCCUUAUGUACGUGCCAAUUUGCUUCUUUAUGCCUCCAAAAAAAUAUUCUCUAACAUUCCACAUAAUUUAAUCUAAUAAGUAAAAAAAACUAGACAAAUCCCUAAUGCAAGGAAUACAUAAAUUACAAUAUAAAAACAACUGAUAAUAAAAACUCUACCAAUCUCCCCCUUUAACAUUCUUAUAGUCAAAACAUAACUAACUAACUUUCAAGCCUUCAAAUAGCAUGGGUAAAAGUUGGAUAGACCAUGCCAAUAACCUACACAUAGGUAACAAAACAAAUGAGGAACUUAAGAAAAUAAAAAUAAAACAAUUGGUCACCGUAAGUUCAAGAUCAAAAUCUCCUUUAGUAAAUAAAUGUUUGUGAUUAAAGUUCACUUGAGAAAUAGUAAGAGAGCAAUAAUUGAUAAACUAUAAAGUUCAUCACUUAAAGACUUGCCUUAAACAUUAUCGUUAUUGAGGACAGAGGUAAGCAAAUAGAAGAUUUUCUCAAUUAACAAGUUAUUAAUACAAACACACAACACACAAAUUGACCAACAACAAAAAUUUACCAAGCACACACUAACAAAUGUGCACACAAAAUUUGAGGGGAUUUAGAGUUGUUAAACUAAAUAAUUUCAAGCAGAAAAUAUGAAAUUGUAGAAAAUAGUUUUAAAGAGGUUGAAUUAUGAGGUGAAAUAUGGUUAAUUACUCAUUCUCCACCACCAAACAUUGGAUUUUAGGUUAAUUAUCAAAUCAUGGUUAACUUUCUUUUGAAAACAAAAACCUAAGAUAAUUACAAGCUCAAUUAUUUUUAUUUUACCUUAUUUAGUUGUUAAGUAGAAUAAGCCCUUUACUUAAUCUCUUUCCAGAAGACAAUCCAGAACAAGCUCUCUAGAUUUAUUUUGAUGAAAGUAUUAGAAUGAAGAAAAAUAUAGGCUGAAUCAAGAAAUAAACACACAAGCUUGUCUAAGUUACGUUAAGCGUAACUUACGUUUUUUGUCUUUUUUCUUCUGGCGAAUUUCACACGAGUCCUUGUAUUCUUUAUGUUUAUGGAUGUAUUUGCCUUCUUUUAUCAAUUAUACAUCUAUUUUUCAUUCUUUCCAAUGUUCUUUUUAUUUUUUUAAAUAAUAACAUACGAUUAUCAAAUGACCAAACCUAGGUUACGUGUAACGUAACAUACAUUCAAGAAGUGAAAUAUCUAUUGGCACCCUUGAAUUUUAUGGAAACUACAUUAAUUGAAUUAAAAUGGUAAAUUAAAAUAUCAAAUGGUAUCUAUUAAUCAGAAUUAAUCAGAGUAUAUGUUGAUAAUGCCCUUUAAUCAGAAUUAAUUCUUAGGAAUGAUUUUAACGGUAAUUCUGAAAGCUAUUGCAUGUUAAUUUUGAAGUCUGUCAUGUAUAUUUUUUAUAUUUUUUAUAUAAUUUCUCUUUAAUUUAAUUAUAUAAUUAAAUUACAUGCAAUAAACCUACAAUUCAAGACUAGGAUUAAUAAAUUUAGGACCAGAAGUUUAUUCUGAAUUUAUAGAUUUGUAUGAAUUUGAUAAUCAUUUAAUAAUGUUUAAAGAAAUAAAUAAAACUUUAGAGAAAAUAAAAAAAUCGAUAGGAGGGAUGGAAGAAGACAAAUACAUCCACAGCUGUAAAAAUUGAAAAUAAAAAGAAUUAGGAGGGCUCAUAUGAUAUUUGCCAAAAAGAAAAAGACAAAGAACGUAAGGUACAUUCAUUGUAACUUAGGCGUUCCCUUAUUUUAAUCAUUUACGAAACUUGACAGGGAUCAACCGUGUGUUUGAAUGAUGUCAAUUUGAAAUUGAUUUAUUUAUUUUUUAAUAUCCCUAAAAUAUUUUUAUUUAUAAAAAUGCCAUUAACAAAAUAUUUUUAUUUUUCUAAUUAUUAAAAAAAAAAAAGCUUAAGCGGUGUCCUUCAAGCAUUAUGGUUUAAAAGGCACAAACUUUCAACACUCAGACAAAUUUUUCAAAGCAUUUCGUAUGUUCAGCGAAUGAACAACCCCUCUCGCUCACAGAUGAUUGAACCCUCUCCCCUUUACAGCCCUCUCUUAAUCACUAAGGAACUUUCAUAGCCACUCUCACUCAAUUGACCAAUCACAGCCACCAUCAUUCAUAGUUACUGUCGCUCUUAGUCACCGUCUCGAUCUAUCAGCCCUAACCCUUAUAGCCACUGUCACUGCUGCAGAAGAAGAGUCACUCAUAGCUGCCAUCACUGCUUGUAGCCGAUAAAAUCUCUUAUUUAUACUUUGACCCCAAACCUCUCUUCACUCUUCUAUAUGUCACAUCUCAACAUUCAAUAAAAACAAACAGAAAAAAUCUCCUUCAAUUUGUUAUCCUCUCACAACAAACAAAAUGCCUGAGGCUUAUCGCAAUCCUCUACCUCCUCCGCCACCCCCCAUCCCAGCGUUAUGGCUCCCCAAGGUUCAGCCGCUCUGGCUCGGUUGGUGGCUCGGGAGCUGGCUCCAACAUGCUCUGAUUCCACAUCGAUGAUGCUCCCGUGCUGAAGAUCUAGCUCAUAGUCAUCCUCCACAUGAGCCUCUGCUGCGUCGGUUUCAUCACGGCUCUUCUCGUCUUUGGCAAGCUCUACCAUUAAAAAUCUGCUAACCAACCGACAGAAUCGAGCUUAUUGAUGGUAAAUCUAGUUUGCUCUAUUUUAUUUUAUUUUAUAAUUUUAUUCCUUUUUUGGUUUUUUUCUCUCUAAAUGAUGGCUUAAAUCAGGACUUGGUUGGUUUUUACGGAUGAGCCUUUGGUUCUCAAUUGUGUUUAUUUGUUAAUCAUUGAUUUUAUUAUUUUGAUUAAAUUGUUACUACUUUUAAAAUUUUAACUUUUCGUUAAAAUUAAUGCAAUGUGAUACCAAUUAGGGAUAUAACAUAAAGAUUAGUGUAUUUACUCUUAUAAAAAGAGGGUGUCUUAUUGGUUAGAAAUGAAUCCAUGUGCGUUAAAGAUUUGGAGUUUUUUUUACUGGACAAGAAAUGUCUUCCUUUGGUUGUUCAUUUCUAUAAUGUUUAUCAAUGAAUAUGGUUUCAAAUAAGGACACUAGUUCAUGUUUAGAUUCAGAAUAGGGGCGUUAUUCUCGAUAAUUUCUUUGGCGAUGAUUUAGAAAGAAAAUUUUGGAACUAUUAACAUGUCUAUCUUCAUCUAUUUGUUUUAUGUGGGUGCGAUUAGCACUUAGUCUGUGUGGCUUUGCCCUGAUUCUGCUAUAAAACUGGUGUGAGCUACUUAACUUUAUGGUGAAGUUGCAUUAGAAUCCAACGAGCGUUUAACUCCUAUAUUUGAAUAUUGAUAAUUUCUCUGUUCUUUAAGGUAUUUUCAUAUUGUUUUAUAUUCCUUUUUGCUUGUUUUCAUAAUUUGUAUUUUUAGAUUUAAGAAAUGUACUUGGCUGCUUCUAUUGAGCAGUGAUCUAGUAAUAGGAGUAUUAUUUUACUAUUUUUUUCUAAUUGUUAUAGUGAACUUUUUCAGUAGUAGUAUAUAUUUGAUUGUGAAUAAAUGUCCGUGGUUUGUAAUUGUUCUGUCCUUGUCUAUUAUGAGUCAACUUGGCUAUGAAAAGUCAUGACUUUGAGAUAAUAAACUAUUAGAUUCAGAUUGAGGUUUUAUUAUGAGUCAACUCUAUUUCUUAACGAGUCAAAUUAACUUAGUUAAUUUGCAGGUUAGUUGUGAGUUAUUGAAAUUUGAGUGAAACAACAUACUUUUUUCGUCUAUGGCAUUUAGAAUGGGUGCUCACUCACUACUUUUCCCUACUUUUUAAGCCCAUACUUUGAUUCAACAACCAUUUUGAUGGUUUUAUUAAUAGCUGCAUUAAAUAAUCUGUUAGUUGGUGCCAUGAGUAGUCAACAUUGGAACACUUUCGUGUGAUUUUCAGCUGUCCCCAGUGAGUUGAGUUUAAGCAACUAGUUACACUUGUUAAGCAUUUAAUUGUAAUUCAGAUAUUGAUAUAUUGCACCCAGGGGCCCAAUGACGCCUUAAAUAUUACCAUGUUUUGUCAGUUCGGGUCAACUUUCUUAGGAUCUCAAGUAUAUUGAAAUAGUUGUAUGACUUUCUUGCUUAUGCUCAACUGCUGCCAAGCUGGAUCAAUAUCUUAAAAUAUCUAUCUCUUAUUUCUUUUUUCAUUUCUUUUAAGGUUUUUGGUUAAUUAUCAGUGGUCUUUCAUAUAGUUUAUCUUAUUCUAGUUUAUUUACCCCUUUUUUUUGGAUGGAAAAUCCCCUCAAUGACUAUUUUAUACAACCUGGUGCUGUCCAAUUUUGGCCAGUGAGGUGCAUGUUGAUUGGCCUCACUAUUUAUGACAAAUGAACCUCAUUUUAGAGUAUAAAAACUUCUCCAACUGAUAUCCAACCCUGUUGGCAUCUUGUGUUAAAAAUUGAAUAAGCAUAUCUAAUAUUUUAUAUCUUUUGGGCCAACAGUAUAAAGAACUACUAGUAUUCCCAACUUGUCACUAUAUGGCAGGUGUAGCAGUUUUAUGGGUGUUAUCCAUCCUCUUCAUAUAACCAUUUUAAGCCCUCAAGGACCAUGAAGAGACAUGUCUAGGAGGUUUUCAGACAGUAAGUAAAGAAAAUUUUGUGUUCAUGUCCAUUGUUGUUGACUAAUUUUAAGAUUUUCUGUUCAUGUCUAUUGUUGUUGAAUAUAUAUAU